GAUUUAAAAUGGAAAAAGGUGAUCCAAAAUUUUGAAAAUGUGGAGGAAAUAUAUGAAAUACUUGGUAAAUAUUUUAUCUAUGAAUUUUUAUCCAUCUUUAUUAGAAUUAGAAUUAUAUGUACAAGAAACAAGUGUGGUAGUUUUUUUUUCUAAGGUGGAAUUAUUAAGAAAUAAUAAAAAAAAGCUUUCUUUCUCUGAAUUAGGGAGUUGAGACUUUCUUGCUCUUAAGUCUGUAGUAAGGUCAAUAAGAUCACGAAGGAGGAGAUUGAAUUCUUUCUUUUUUCCAUGUUGACUCAAGUCGUGAUAUUAACCAUAUUGUGAUACAUACUUCGAUAGCAAUAGAAAUCAUCGUCGAUUUCAGCUACCAUCCAUGUACGAUCCAUACUAGAUGGACAACCAUUAUACCUGCUCUAUAUUCUUGAAAGUUCAUUUUUGUCUUCGUAGAGUGUUUUAUCAGCACAUUUCAAUCUUUUUUCCCAUUUUAAAAUUAGUGAGCCAUUAUUUCAUGUACAAAUAUUAUUAUUACCGCUUGAACAAUUUUUUAACAAUAAAAACAAAUAUAGCCUCAUACUAGAUAUUCCGCCAUUUGUCUACUCUUAACUUUGCACACUUCUUAAGAAACUAUAAAUACAAAAGUAAUUUUACUAUAUCAGAAUAUAAUAAAUACUAUGUCUUGAAAAAUGUAAUAGAAAAAUAACUAUAACUAAUGAAAAGUGUGAAUUAAGAACUAAGUGUAAAAUUAUCUAUCAAUUUCAUAAAAUAAACAAAUAUUGUUGGACAUCCCAAAAUAGUAUAGUGAACAACUAUUGUCGUACGGAAGUAGUCGUAAAAUGGAAUACAUGUAUUUUGUACGAGCAAGAGGAUUUUUAUCUCAAUUCUAAUAGUUCAAGGAUAUUUUUGAACCACAAAACCAAACGGAGAGCAUUUUUGUUCUAUUUUCAAUUUUCAAUGGUUAUUUUAAACCCUUUUCCCGUUAAUUAACCCUACCUAGGGUUUAAGAUAGAAAUCACCCCAAAUCCCUCGACUUUCUCUUCUUUCACUUAUCAAAUUACUCUUCAAUCUUCAAUUUUUUCUUCACGAUUUAGCUGAAUUUAGGUAUAAUUCCAUAGUUUUCACUUCCAACAAUGCCAAAUAAGAGUAAUUCGAAGAAGCCUAAACCAGUGGAAGUAGCAGCAGCUGCUGUUGUAGAAAAGGAGAAACCAAUUUCUUCAUCCAAACCCAAAAAGCCAGGCAGUGAAAUCGACGAUAUAUUUGCCGGAAAAAAGAGGAAGAAACCGGAAUUACAAGAAAAAUCAAGCGGAGUUGCUGUUACAGAGCCGAAAAAGGUGAAGAAAAGCAAGGAAACAAGUAGUAGGAUUCCGAAAGAUAAUGUGUUAUCUGAGCCACGACGUCGGUCGAGGAAGAAAACGGCAGAUGGGUUUACUUUAUACACAGAAGAGGAGUUGGGUUUUGGGAGGUCUAAUGCUGGAGGUACUUCACUUUGCCCUUUUGAUUGUGACUGUUGUUUUUAGUGAAUUUUGAAAGGAUUGUUUGAUAUUGAAGGAAUUAUAUCAGUUUUGUAGUGAAUUUGUAGUAGUAUAUGUCUGUUUUGAGGAUGAAGUUUUGUUCUUUUAACUGAUUGGUGUAAGUUGUAUCAGUUUUAUUUGAAUGCAUGAGGAAUUUUGUUUAUAGAUGUGAAGUGUUCGUUUUGGUGAUGCAUAUUCAAUUGUCUGAAUUUUUGAAGCUGAAAAGUAUAAACUUUUGAGUUGGGUUUGUGUAUUCAUGGAAUUGUUCCCAAUACACUUAGAGAUUGAAGAAAAAUCUGAGUAAACGUGAUUGUAUCUGUAAAAUGGUCCAUGUAACCUAAAUUAGGGGUUAUUGCGUUAAGUUUUGAGUGAAAGGAUGUACAUAUGAUUUCCAGUUCUGCAUAAGCAAACUUGGCUGCGGUAUGCUUACAAGUGAAAUCCUAGAUGGUUAUCUGUAACAUGGUCUCCUGGAUCUAUGAAUGGAUGCUGAUGCUGUCUAGAUAUUCUUAUUGCUGAUAGGUAGAUAGACCAUGUAAUGAGGCAUCUUCGCCCGUUUCUCCUAGUCAUUGACAUACUUGGUUUUGGAUAAAAGGAGCUAGACAAUGUGAUGGAAACAUGCAUGCGGAGGAAGUAGUCCAGAUCACCAAGUUCAUCGAGGAAAAAUUAAAGCACAGACCAUAAAACCAAUCUAACAAUAAUUUUUUUGGAACCUGUAAAGAUGAUAUCUUUGGUAUAUCUAUGCUAAAGGAAAUAAGUAACUAUACUCAUUGUGGGAGUUAAGCAUAGAGUUGUUUGACCCACCGCUGCAAAAUCCAUGCUUGUAAAAAAAGGAACAAAAAGAGUAAUUAGGCUAAAUUUUUUGGUUAAGGCAGUGGAAUAUGCAGCUUGCAAACUUAGGUAGACUAGUAAGGAUCAACAAGGUCUUGCGGUUGCUCCACGUAAUCAGCAGCUACCCUUGAGAAGAGCAUCUUUAAUGUCGAACUGACAAAUGGUCCAGCGUGAGAGAGAGAGAGAGAGUUGUCGUCAGGAACAGGACACCAAUGACUGUGGUGUCUAGGCCAGCUUCGUGCACAUCGACUAAUUCCACGGGAUACCUGUCACCUCCCACUAGCAAUAGGUACUAGGUAACUCUGCCUAGCAAGGCUAGGACAUAGUUGUCGUCACUUUUAUACUAGAGAAUAAUGGAACCCAGAAGCUGAGGAUAAAGGUGACAUCCCUACAUCUGAAUGAUUGGGAUGGACAAAAGAGCCAAAUUACCAACCAAAUCGUAAAUUUUACACGAUGGAGCUGUGCCGAUAUGAGGGAAGAAAUUUGCUACAAAACUGGUUGCUGGACAGGCCCAAGGAUGUGUUGAUCAGUGAAGAAAGCAUGCUGAAACUGUUAAUUUUGAUUAUGGUUGUUGGUCAUUACAUUUGUCGUAGCCAGGAUGUUCAUGUUCACCCCCUUCUGCAUUAUUUUAUUGUUAGAUGUGUUCAUGAAUGACUGCUAAGGCAGGAAGGUAUAAGCAGUUGCAUCAAGAUAUGCUUCAUAUAUAAUCAGCCUUGGUCAUAACUUUGCAAAAGUUAGAGAUGAUAUCAUGCGAAAUGUCAUGAUAGCUAAGGCAUCAGAGGAAAUAGGUAGGUAGACCAGUACGAGUACAGUGUAGACACUGUGGGUGUAGGACGCACGUCUAUGGACAAGCUCAUGAAGCUUACCUAUAAACACAUAAGUAGUCAGGUCCCUAACUUAAUGCAGGAAGUGGUAUUUGGCAUCAAUAUCAUCCAAGCAUUGCGACAAUCAGGUAAUUAUAAAGAAGUGGGGAUAAGACCAUAUGGAUCAUUGCAUGUAUCCAUCUGAAUGGCAUGCUUGUGCUGUUUAAUUGGUUCCAGAUUUGGUGAUCUAAUGAAGAUGGUUCAUCAUCUGGGAGUUUGGAGUCACCGAUCUGACCAACAUUUCCAGGACCAGUUAGAAAAGAUCAAACCACUUCGAGUAGUUCCUUGACGUAGCAUAUCUGCAAAUUGGAACAAGGUCCUUAAUGUGAAGAAAGGGUCCAAACAUGAUGGGGAAGAAAAAAAUUAAUGCGCUAGGAGCAAAAGCAGCAAGUCGAAGGCUAGAGAAUGGUGUUGGCAGCAUGCUGAUGGCAAUCAGAGCAAUGUGUGAAGGCUGGCAAAAUGGCACCUAAAAGUGUCAUGGAGGGAGAAAAGUUGAGGUGUUUGUCGGAGUAACCCGUAAGUCAGUAGCGCUGAGGAGAGGGACUGAGCGUGCAGCUAGAAAGAGGAGAGAAAUUAACCUAAGGUCGUAAAAGAUAUAAAAUUACGAGCAUCAUCACGUGUUUUUAUCGAUUUGGUUCUUUAUAUAGCUGAAACAUUUUCGUCUGACUAGUCGACUAAACGAUUGUUUUUCCAGCUAGCUCAUCCUGGAGGCAUUCAUAAAGUGCCUAUUACUUGUUUGAACUGUGAAGAAUUACUUGCACAAUUUAGUGUAAUGCACCAAUUUCAUUUGCUUGGAAUAUUCUAAAAGAGAGUGAUAUAAUUUUUGGAAUAAUUUCAGAGACUCUAGUUUUCGCUUCGUAAUACUGAUCUCCUUUGUCUCUCACAAUAUUAUGCUUACCUCCCUUAUUUUGAUUUUUUUUAAUAAUUCGUUUAACAUUGAGGUUUAUGUACUAACUAAACCAUUGACCAAAGUUUUAGUGCCGACUUUCCUAAAGACCUUUUCUUCCCUCUUCAAUUAUGGGUAAUAUUCGAUACUCCAUCCCUUAUGUGGCACCUUUAGUAUUUCAAGAUUCAAACGAGUAUUAAAUAUUUCAUGCCUGAAUUCAUGGUUAAAAUUUAAUUGUUUGACUCUCGAAAUUUGAGUUGUGCCAUGUAAAUUAAAACAAAGGGAAUACUAUUUAUGAAUAGUUAAAUUUAAUGAAGUCUAAAGGAGAUAGAAUCAAAAAUAGAGAAGUAAAAUGUUAAUGAGACUUUUAUCAUAAGCCGUUGGCGAUAAUACAUGAUUAGUUUUUUUAUUAUAGAGAUUGAGAUAGUUUGAUAAAAUAUUUUGGGUAAUUGUAUAUUUGAACGAAAAAUAAAUAAAUUCAGACAUCUUUUGCUUCUACUUGAUUUUUCCAACUUCUUUUUUUCACACAAUAGAUAUUUCCAUUUUCUUUUUUUCACACAAAAUAGAUACUACUACUAUGCAAAGAAGUUUUUCUUUUACCAACAUGGGUUAUGGUGCACUGGUGGGAGUGCUUCACCUUUAAUCAGAGGUCUCGGGUUCGAGCCUUGGGUAUGGAGAAAAUCUUGUUGGGAGCGCCACCCCCGAAUGGGCCCUGCAGUGCGCAAUCCGGAUUUAAUCGGAGUUUCAAUGUGGACUCCGAACACCGGGUGGUGUGAAACCAAAAAAGAAAAAGUUUUUCUUUUCAAAUUUAUUGUCCAACACCUUAAAACUCUUCUGGUAGAUGUUUGGAUUUGCCAAUCAUGAAACAUUGUUUACAUUUCACUGUUAUCGAUUCUGUUCAUUGUUUCCUCUUCAACUUGAGAUACAAAGCAACCAAGAUUGCAUGUGGUUAAUGAAGUGGUUGAAAAUUCUGAUAUUUCAAGUUUAAAAUUCAGUGAAGAUAAAAAAUAAAAAUAUCAAGAUUCUUUUUUUAUCUAUUCUAGUCUUAGUGAACAGAGUUACCUGGUACAUGUUGGUAAUGGAUGUGACAGUUAUUCCAUGAAAUUAGUUGAGAUACACGAAAGUUGGUUUGGACACUACGGUCAUUAAAAAAAAGAGCUUGACAAAAAACUUGGAAGAUAAAAUCUUAUAUGAGGGGCACCUUGAUACUUGUUGCUAAUGGAAAGUGACAUGAAUUUUAUGGAAUUAAUUGAAAUGUACGAAAGUUGAUUCAGACACCAUGGUCAUUAAAGAAAAACUUGACAGAGAACUUGGAAGAUAAAACCUUAUAUGAGGUGCACUUGGAAGGUGAGGUUGUAUGUACCACUCCCCCAGGUCAUUACAAAGGGUCUUGUAAAAGUUUUGCGAAAAAAGUGUCUAGAAAUCAUAUUACCGGAAAAUUCAUUAACUAACACUCAUGAAAAAUUGAUAAUCGUCUAAUUCCUGUUGAGUGACCCCUAAAUGUUAAAAAAAAUGGCAUGAGUUAUGGUGAGACUAUAGGAAUUAUUCCCCAGGUCCUUAUGGAUAAUUCUGUAAAAGUUGAGAAAAAAAGGUGUCCGGAAGCUAUAUCACCAAAAAAUUCAUAGGCUAACACACAUGACAAACUGAGAAAUAUCCUAAUUCGUAUUGAAUGACCCCUAAAUUAAAAAAAUGGUGUGGAUCAUGGUGGGAUUAAGAAAUUUAUGUGCUAAAAUACACGAAAAACUAAGAAAAUCGCUUAUUUAGGAAUUACGCGACUUUCUCGAUUUUUGGUAUGUAUUAGCCCAUGGAUCGGGGCCUUGGAGGACCCAAAUUUUUUUCCUGAAAAAACUUUAUGAGGACCUCCGUAAUGAGUUGGGGAAGCAUUACAGUCCCAACAUUUUAAAGCCUAUUUUUGAACUUUUGGAAAUUACACGACUUUUCUAGUUUUCGUGUGUAUUAGCCUAUGAAUUUGGCGCCUUAGAACAACUAAAAAAAAUUCUGAAAAAAACUUUAAGAGGACCUCCAUAAUGAGUUGGGGAAGCAUUACAUACAUAUGGUCCGAUCAUUUUAAGGCCUAUUUUUGCGUUUAUCAGCCAACUUUUUAGGAAUUACGCGACUUUCUUGGUUUUUCGUGUGUAUUAGACCAUGGAUUUGACACCUUAAAGCACCCAAUUUUUUUUUUGUUUGAAAAAGACUACGAAGAGCUCUAUAAUGAGUUGGGGAAGCAUUGCGUAUAGUCCCACCAAUAUAAGGUGUAUUUUUGAAUUUACUAGCCAAUUUUUAGGAAUAACGCGACUUUUCCAUUUUUGGUGUGUAUUAGCCCAUGAAUUUGGCGUCUUGGAACACCCAAUUUUUUUUCCUGAAAAAACUUAUGAGGACUUCCAUAAUGAGUUAGAAAAGUAUUACAUAAAGUCCCACAAUUUUAAGGCUUAUUUUCGCAUUUACCAAUCAACUUUUAGGAAUUACGUAACGUUCACGUUUUUUCGUGUGUAUUAGCACAUUAAUCUGGCGCCUUGGAGCACCCAAACUUAUUUCUGAAAAACUUUACGAGGACCUUCGUAAUGAGUUGAGGAAACAUUAUGUAUAGUCCAACAAUUUUUCUAAUGCUUAUUUUCAUAUUUACCAACCAACUUUUAGGAAUUACGCGACUUUCUCAAUUUUUCGUGUGUAUUAGCCAUCAGGUGCCUUGGAGCAACCAAUUUUUUUGUGAAUUUUUUUUAUUAGGACCUCCGUAAUGAGUUUGGGAAGCAUUACGUACAAUUCUACAAUUUUUUAAGGCAUAGUUUCGCAUUUACAAACCAAAUUUUAGGAACUACGCGACUUUCCUAGUGUUUCGUAUUUAUUACCCCAUGGAUCUGGCGCCUUAGAGCAUCCAAAAUUAUUUUCUAAAAAACUUUAUGAGUUCCUCCGCAAUAAGUUGGAAAAGAAUUAUGUAUAGUCCCACCAUUUUUUAAGGCCUAUUUUCGCAUUUUAAAGCCAACUUUUAAGAAUUAAGUGACUUUCUCGAAUUUUCGUGUGUAUUAGCCGAUAGAUCUGGUGCCUUGGAGCAACCAAAUUUUUUUUCUGAGAAAACUUUAUGAGGACCUCCACAAUGAGUUGGGGAAACAAUAUGUAUAGUCCCACCAAUUUUAAGGCCUAUUUUGGCAUUUACGAGCCAACAUUUAAGAAUUACGCGAUUUUCUGAUUUUUCGUGUAUAUUACCUCAUAGAUCUAGUUCCUUGGAACACUCAAUUUUUUAAAACAAAUAAUUUUAUGAGGUCCUCCAUAAUGAGUUGGGAAACAUUACCUAUAGUUCACCAUUUUAAGGCCUAUUUUUGCAUUUAUGAGCUAACUUUUAUGAAUAAUGCGACUUUCAUGGUGUUUCGUGUGUUACCCAUGAAUCUUGCGCCUUGGAACACCCAAAUUUUUUUAAAAAAAAAAACUUUAUGAGGACCUCCGUAAUGAGUUGGGAAAACAUUAAGUAUAGUCCUUCCAUUUUUAAGGCAUAUUUCUCGCAUUUACGAGCUGACUUUUAAGAAUUACGCAACUUUCUCGAUUUUCGUGUGUGUUAGCCAUGGAUCUGGCGCCUUGGAGCACCCUAAAUUAUUUCUGAAAAGACUUUAUGAAUACCUUCGUAAUGUGUUGGGGAAAUAUUACUUAUAGUCCUCCUAUUUUAAGGCCUAUUUUCGCAUUUACCAGCCAAAUUUUAGAAAUUACGCGACUUUUCCGAUUUUUUUGUGUAUUAGCCCAUGGAUCAAGCGCCCUGGAGCAACCAAAUUAUUUUCUAAAAAAACUUUAUGAGUACCUUCGUAAUGAGUUGAUGAAGCAUUAGGUACAAUUCCACCUUUUUAACGCAUAGUUUCACAUUUACAAGCCAACUUUUAGGAAGCGACUUUCUUAUUUUUUCGUGUGUAUUAGCCCAUUGAUCUAGCGCCUUGGAGCACCCACAAAGUUUUUCUGGAAAAAAACUUUAUGAGGACCUCUGUAAUGAGUUGGGAAAACAUUACCUAUAGCCCCGCCAUUUUUUAAGUCACAUUUUCGUAUUUUCGAGCCAACCUUAGGAAUUAUGCGACUUUCCUGAUUUCGUGUGAAUUAUCCCAGGUAUCUGGCGCCUUGGAGAAUCAAUUUUGUUUUCUGAAAAUCUUGUAUGAGGACCUUCGUAAUGAGUUGAGAAAGAAUUAAGUAUAGUCCCACCAUUUUAAGACAUAUUUUCGCAUUUACCAGCUGAAUUUUAGGAAUUACGUAAUUUUCUCGGUUUUUCAUUUGUAUUAGCCCACAUAUUUGGCGCCUUCAAGCAUUCAAUUUUUUUUUUCAAAAAAAACUUUAUGAGGGCCUCCGUAAUAAAUUGGGGAAACAUUAUGUAUAGUCCGACUAUUUUUUAAGGCAUAUUUUCACAUUUACCAACCAACUUUUAGGAAUUAUGCGACUUUCUCAAUUUUUCGUGUGUAUAUUAGUCCAUGGAUUUGGCGCCUUGGAGCACUCAAAAUUAUUUUCUGAAAAUUUUGAUGAGUACCUGCGUAAUGAGUUAGGAAGCAUUGCAAUUAGUUUCACUAUUUUUCUAAUGAUUAUUUUUGCAUUUACCAACCAACUUUUAGGAAUUACAUGACUUUCUAAAUUUUAGGAAUUACGCGACUUUCUUGGUGUUUCGUAUGUAUAUUAGCCUAUGGAUAUACUCCUUAGAGCAUUCAAAAUUAUUUUCUGAAAAAUAUUUAUGAGUACCUCCGCAAUGAGUUGAGGAAGAAUUACAUAUAGUCCCACCAUUAUUAAGGCCAAUUUUUGCAUUUUACAGCCAACUCUUAGAAAUUGUGCGACUUUCCCAGUUUUUCGUGUAUAUUAACCCAUGGAUCAAACGCCUUUGAACAACCAAUUUUUUUUUAAGAAAAAACUUUAAGAGGAACUCCGUAAUGAGUAGGGGAAGCAUUACGUACAGUGACACCAUUUUUUAAGUCAUAAUAUUGCAUUUAGGAGGCAACUUUUAGGAAUUACGCGACUUUCUUGUUUUUUCAUGUGUAUUUGCCACUUGGAUCUAGCGCCUUGGAGCACCCAAACAAAUUUUCUGAAAAAACUUUAUCAAUACCUUUGUAAUGAGUUGGGAAAACAUUACAUAUAGUCUCACCAUUUUAAGGCCUAUUAUGGCAUUUAGUAGCCAAAUGUCGGAAUGACUCGACUUUUCAUGUGUAUAAGCCCAUGCAUCAGACAUUUUUCAACACCCAAAUUUUUUUAUUGAAAAAACUUCACGAGGAUUGUUGUAUUCUGAAAUUUUUUUUGAUGCUUUGAGGCGCCUGAUCAAUGGGCUAAUAUACAUACGAAAUAUAGAGAAAUUUGCGUAUUUCCUUAAAAAGACCUGUAAAUGCGGAAAUAUGAGUUAAAAAAUGGUUGGAGUAUAUGUGAUGGUACCCCAACUCAUUACGGAGGUCCUCAUGAUGUUUUUUGAGAAAAAUUUCUUACGGGCUCUGAGGCGCCAAAUCAAUGUGCUAUAAUACACAUGAAAAAUUGUGAAAUUUACGUAAUUUCUAAAAAAGACCUGUAAAUGCAAAAAUAAAUGUUACAAAAAUUGUGCGAGUAUACGUGUUGGUUCCCUAACUUAUUACGGAGGUGCUCAUAAAUUUUUUUGUAAAAAAAAAAGUUUUGAGUGCUCUGUGAAGCCAGAUCCAUGAGCUAAUAUAGGGGUGCACAAAAUAUUUACAUAAUAAAUUGUUAACUUUGAAUUUGAAAAACUAAAACAGUAUAAAUUAACAAAGUAUAUUAUAAAUAAUAUUUUUUAUAUAUAAAUAAAAUAAAAUUAUAUAUAUAUAUAUUAUGUCGGUUUGAUUUGGGUUCGAUUUGACUUUUUUUCUUUUAAUAUCAAACCAAAUCAAGAAUGAUCGCUUUUUUUUUUCAAUGCCAAACCAACCAAACCAAAUUACAAAUCGUUUUUAUUUCGAUUUGAUUUGAUUCGUUUGUUCGGUUUGACUUUAUAGUUUGGCUUGUACACCCCUAGGCUAAUACACAAGAAAAAUUGAGGAUUUUAGGCGAUACCCAAAAUGUAUGUAAAUACGGAAAUGGGCUUUAAAAAAUAUGUGUGAGUAUAACUGAUGGUUCCCAAACUCAUUACGGAGUUCCUCAUAAAGUUUUUGAGAAAACAAUUUUAGGUGCUCCAGGGCACCAGAUCAAUGGGCUAGUAAAAAUGAAAUUGAGGAAGUCCCACGAUUCUUAAAAAAUGGCAUGUAAAUGCGGAAAUAGACAUUAAAAAUAUGGUGUGACUAUAUGUGAUUGUUCACCAACUCGUUACAGAGGUCCUCAUAAAGUUUUUUGAGAAUUUUUUUUAGGUGCUCCGGGGCGCCAGAUCCAUGGGCUAAUACACAUGAAAAAUGAAGGAAUUUACGCGAUUCCUAAAAAAAGGCAUGUAAAUGCAGAAAUGGACGUUAAAAAAUGGUGUGAGUAUACGUGAUAGUUGCCCAAUUUAUUACGGAGUUUCUCAUAAAGUUUUUUGAGAAAAAAAUAUUUGCUCUGGGGUGCCAAAUCCAUGGAUAAUACACACGAAAAAUUAAGAAAUUUGUGCUAUUUCUUUUAAAAGCAUGUAAAUGCGAAAAUUGCGUUAAAACUGAUAUGAGUAUAGGUAAUGGUUCCCCAACACAUUUCAUAUAGUCUCAUAAAGAUUUUUGAGAAAAAAAAUUGGGAUGCUCCGGCGCACCAGAUCAAUGGGUUAAUACACACGAAAAAUUAAGAAAAAUGCGUGAUUCAUAAAAAGAGUCCUGAAAAUACUGAAAUGGGUAUUAAAAAUGGUGUGAGUAUACGUGAUGGUUUCCCAACUCAAUUCAAAGGUCCUCAUAAAUAUUAUUUCAAAAAAAUUAGGUGAUCCAAGAUGCCAGUUCCAUGGGCAAUAACACAUGAAAAAUUGAGGAAUUUGAGCGAAUCCUCAAAAAGGGCAUGUAAAUGCAGAAACGGACGAUAAAAAAAUGGUCUGAGAAUACAUGAUGAUUCUCCAACUCAAUACGAAGGUCCUCAUAAAGUUUUUUGAGAAAAAAACUUUGGAUGCUCCGGACGCCAGAUCCAUGGGAUAAAACACACGAAAAAUUGGGAAAUUUGGGCGAUUCUUAAAAAGGGCUUCCAAAUGCGAAAAUGGGCGUUAAAAAAUGGUAUGAAUAUAUGUGAAGGUUUCUCAACUCAUUACGAAUGUCCUAAUAAAGUUUUUAGAGAAAAAAAAGUAGGGUGCUCUGAACCCUGAUCCAUGGGCUAAUACAGACGAAAAAUUAGUGAAUUUGGGCGAUUCUUUAAAAAAACUUGUAAAUACGGAAAUGGGCAUUAAAAAAUUGGUGCGAGUAUACGUGAAGGUUCUCAACUCAUUACAGAGGUCCUCAUAAAGUUUUUUUAGAAAUUUUUUUAGGUGCUCUAGAUUCCACAUCCAUGGGUUAUUACAUAUGAAAAAUCGGUGAAUUUGAGUGAUUCUUAAAAAUGGGCUUGUAAAUGCGGUAAUAGGCGUUGAGAAAAUAGUAUGAGUAUAUGUCAAGGUUCCCCAACGCAUUACAUAAACCCUCAUAAAGUUUUUUGAGAAAAUUUUUUGGGUGCUUCGGGCGCCAGAUCAAUGGGCAAAUACAUACGAAAAAUUGAUAAACUCUGGCAAUUCUUAAAAAAGGGUUUGUAAAAGUGGAAAUGGGCAUUAAAAAAAAGGUGUGAGUAUACAUGAAUGUUCUCCAACUCAUUAUAGAUGUCCUCAUAAAGUUUUUUGAGAAAAAAAAAUUUGGGUGCUCUGGACGCCAGAUCCAUGGGAUAAUAAAUCCGAAAAAUAGGUGAAUUUGGGCGAUUCUUAAAAAAGGGCUUGUAAAUGCAGAAAUGGGUCUUAAAAAGUGGUGUGAGUAGAUGUAAAGUUUCCCCAACUUAUUAUGGAGGUCCUCAUAAAGUUUUUUGAGAAAAAUAUUUUGGGUGCUCUUGAUGCCAGAUCCAUGGGAUAAUAGAUAUGAAAAAUUGGGAAAUUUGGGUGAUACUUAAAAAUGGGAUUAUAAUGCGGAAAUGUGCGAUAAAAAUGGUGUUAGUAUACGUGAAGGUUCCACAACUCAUUAAAAGGUUCUCAUAAAGUUUUUUGAGAUUUUUUUUUAAGGUGCUCCGGGUGCUAGAUUCAUGGGUUAAUACACAUGAAAAUUGAUGAAUAUCGGCGAUUUUAAAAAAUGGGCAUUAAAUGCGGAAUUGAGCGUUAAAAAAAUGGUGUGAGUAUACGUGAAAGUUCCUAACUCAUUACGGAGGUCCUCAUAAAGCUUUUUGAGGAAAAAAAAUUGGGUGCUCUAGGCACCUGAUCUAUGGGAUAAUACACACGAUAAAUCGCUUAAUUUGGGUGAUUCUUAAAAAAGGGAUUGUAAAUGUUGAAAUUGCAUUACAAAUUGUGUGAGUAUACGUGAAGGUUCCCAACUCAUUACAGAGAUCCUGACAGAGUUUUUUGAGAAAGAUAUUUUUGCGUGCUCUGGUCCCUAGAUCAAUGGGCUAACACAAAUGAAAAAUCGAGGAAUUUGGGCGAUUCUUAAAAUAAGGCUUGUAGCUGCGGAAAUGGCGUUAAGAAAAUGGUGUGAGUAUACGUUAAAGUUCUCCAACUCAUUACGAAAGAUUUCAUAAACAUUUUUGAGAAAAAAAUUUGGGUGCUCCGGGCGCUAUAUCUACGGGCUAAUACAGAGGAAAAUUCGGUGAAUUUGGGGGAUUCUUAUAAAAAAAACAUGUAAAUGCGGAAAUAAACGUUAAAAAAUGGUGAGAGUAUACGUGAAGGUUCAAUAACUCAUUAUGGAUAUCCUCAUAAUGUUUUUUGAGAAAAAAAAUGUGGGUGUUCCGGUCGCCAGAUCCAUGGGCUAAAACAACUGAAAAAUCAGGGAAUUUUGGUGAUUCUUAAAAAAAGACGUGUAAAUGCAGAAAUGGUCGUUAAAAAAUUUGUGUGAGUAUACUGCAAGGUUCUCCAACUCCUUUCGGAGGUCAACAUAAUUCUUUUUGAGAAAAAAUAUUUGGGUGCUCCGGGAGCCAGAUCCAUAAGCUAUACACAUGAAAAAUCGGUGAAGUUGGGCGAUUCUUAGAAAAGGGAUUGUAAAUGCGAAAAUGGGCAUUAAUAAAUGGUGUGACUAUACGUGAAGGUUCCCUAACUCAUUACGGAGGUCCUUAUAAUGUUUUUUGAGAAAAGAAAUUUGGGUGCACCAGGCGCUAGAUCCAUGGGCAAAUACACACAAAAAAUCGGUGAAUUUGGGAAUUUCUUAAAAAAUGGCUUAUAAAUGCAGAGAUGAAAGUUACAAAAAUGGCGUAAGUAUACGUGAAGGUUCCCAACUCAUUACGGAGGACAUCAUAAAGUUUUUUGAGAAAACAAAUUGGGUGCUUCUAUCGCCAAAUAUAUGGGCUAAUACACACGAAAAAUCAGGAUAUUUGUGCAAUUCUUAAAAACGGGCUUCUAAAUUCAGAAAUGGACAUUAAAAAAUGUUGUGAGUAUACAUCAAGGUUCCCCAACUCAUUACGGAAGUCCCAUAAAGUUUUUUGAGAAAAAAAAAAUUCGGUGCUACGGGCCUUAAAUUCAUGGUCUAAUACACACAUAAAAUCUAUGAAUUUGGGCGAUUCUGAAAAAAUGGUUUGGAAAUGCGUAAAUAGGCAUCAAAAAAAUUAUUUGAGUAUACGUGAAAGUCUCCAACUCAUUACGAGGCCCCAUAAAAUUUUAGAGAAAAAAAUUGAGUGAUCCGGGCGCCAGAUCCAUGGGCUAAUACACACAAAAAAUUGGGAAUUUAAGCGAUUCUUAAAAAAAGACCUGCAAAUGCGGAAAUGGACGUUAAAAAAAUGGUGUGAGUAUACGUGAAGGUUUCCAACACAUUUCGGAGGUCCUCAUAAAGUGUUUUGAGAAAAAAAGAUUGGGUGCUCUCGGUGCCAGAUACAUGGGCUAAUUCGCACGAAAAAUCGGUGAAUUUGGUUGAUUCUUAAAAAAAGGAUUUUAAAUGCGAAAAUAGGUGUUAAAAAUUGUGUGAAUAUACGUGAAGGUUACCCAACUCAUUACGUAGGUUCUCAUAUAGUUUUUUGAGAGAAAAAAAUUGGGGUGUUCUAAGCACCAGAUCCAUGGGCUAAUAUACACGAAAAAUAGAAGAAUUUGAAGUUACUUAAAAAAGGCUUGUAAAUGCGGAAAUAGACGUUAAAAAUAUGGUGGGACUAUACGUGAAGGUUCUCCAACUCAAUACGGAGGACUUCUAAAGUUUUUUGAGAAAUUUCUUUUAGGUGUUUCGGGUGUUAGAUCAAUGGGCUAUAACAUACGAAAAAUCAGAAAAGUUGGGCGAUUCUUAUAAAAGGGCUUGUAAAUGCAGAAAUGGGUUGAGUAUACGUCAAGGUUCACCAACUCGAUACGGAGGUCCUGAUAAAGUUUUAUGAGAAAAAAAAUUUGGGUGGUCCGACACCAGAAUCUCGGGCUAAUACAUACGAAAAAUCGAUGAAUUUGGGCUAUUCUUAAUAAAAUGCUAUUAAAUGCGAAAAUGAGAGUUAAAGAAAUGGUGUGAGUAUACUUGAAGGUUCCCCAACUCAUUACAGAGGUACUCAUAAAGUUUUUUAGAAAAAAAAAGAUUGGGUGCUCCAGGCGCCAAAUCCAUGGGCUUAUAACACGAAAAAUCAAGGAAUUUGGGCGAUUUUUAAAAAAGGCUUGUAAUUGCUGAAAUGGGUGUUAAAAAAUUGGUGUGAAUAUACGUGAAGGUUAAUAUACACGAAAAAUUGUUGAAUUUGGAUAAUUCUUAAAAAAAGACUUGUAAAUGUGAAAAUGCGCUUUGAAAAAUGGUAUGAGAAUACGUGAAGUUUCCCCAACUCAUUACGAGGUCCUCAUAAAGUUUUUUGAGACAAAAAUUUUGGGUGCUCUGGGCGUCAUAUCCAUGAGCUAACACACUAAAAAUUGAGAAAUUAUGGCUAUUCUUUAAAAAUGCUUGCAUAUGCGGAAAUGGAUGUUAAAAAAAUAGUAUGAGUAUACGUGAAAGUUUCAAACUCAUUACGGAGGUCUUCAUAAAGUAUUUUGAGAAAAAAAAAUUAUGGUUCUCCGAAAGCCAUAUCCAUGGGCUAAUACACACGAAAAAUAGGAAAUUCGGGCAAUUCUUAAUAAAGGACUUGGAAAUGUAGAAAUGAGCAUUAAAAAAAUGGUGUUAGUAUAUGUGAAGGUCCCCAAUUCAUUACGGAGGUCCUCAAAAAGUUUUUUGAGAAAAAAAUUGGGUGCUCCGGGCGCCGAUCUAUGGGCUAAUACUCACGAAAAAUUGGGGAAUUUGGGUGACUCUUAGAAAAGGAAUUGUAAAUGCGGAAAUGGGAGUUAAAAAAAUGGUGUGAGUAUACGUGAAGGUUUUCCAACUCAAUACGGGGGACCUCAUAAAGUUUUUUGAGAAAAAAAAGGUGGGUUCUGCGGCACCGUAUCUAUGGACUAAUACACACGAAAAAUUGGUGAAUUUUGGCGAUUCAUAAAAAGGGUCUUGUAAAUGCGAAAAUAAGCGUUAAAAAUGGAGUGAGUAUACGUGAAAAUUCACCAAUUCAUUACGGUAGUCCUCAUAAUGAUUUUUGAGAAAAAAAAUUGGGUGUUCUGUGCGACAAAUCAAUGGGCACGAAAAGUCAGAUAUUUUGGGAGAUUAACCAAAAGGAACUUGUAAAUGCGGAAAUGAGUGCUAAAAGUGGUGUGAGUAUACGUGAAUGUUACAUAACUCAUUAACGAGGUCAUCAUAAAGAUUUUUGAGAAAAAUACUUUGGGUGCUCCAGCACCAGAUCAAUGGGCUAAUACACAUGAAAAAUCGAUGAACUUGGGCGAUUCUUCAAAAAAUGAUUGUAAAUGCGGAAACGGGCAUUAACAAAAUGGUGUGAGAAUAUAUGAAGGUUCUCCAACUCAUUAUGGAUGACUUCAUAAAUAUUUUGAGAAAAAAAUUAUUAAAUCUCCGGACGCCAAAUUCAUGGGCUAAUACACACGAAAAUCGAUGAUUUUUCAUUACGAAAGUACUCAGUAAUUUUUUGAGAAAAAUAUAUUGGAUGCUCUGAGCGGCGAUCAGUGGGCUAAUACACACGAAAAUCGAUGAAUUUGGGGGAUUCUUAAAAUAAAAGGCUUGUAAAUCGGCGUUAAAAAAUGAUGUGAGCAUACGUGAAGGUCCCCUAACUUAUUACGAAGGUACUCAUAAAGACUUUUGAUAGAAAAAAAAAUUUGGUGCUACGGGCGCUAGAUCCAUGUGCUAAUACACAAAAAAAUCGGUAAAUUUGGGCGAUUCUUAUAAACGGGCAUGCAAUUGCAGAAUGGAGCGUUAAAAAAUGGUGUAUGUCUACGUGAAUGUGCUUCAACUCACUACGGAGGUUCUCAUAAAGUUUUUUGAGAAAAAAUAUAUUGGUGCUCCAGGCGCCAGAUCCAUGGGCUAAUACACACGAAAAAUCGGUGAAUUUGGGUGAUUCUACAAAAAGAUCUUAUAAUGCGAAAAUGGGCGUUAAAAAAAGGUAUGAGUAUACGUGAAAGUUCCCCAACUCAUUACGGAGGUUCUCAUAAACUUUUUGAGAAAAUAAUUUGGUGCUCCGGGCGCCAGAUCCAAUGGCUAAUACACACGAAUAAUUGGAAAAUUUGGGCGAUUUUUAAAAGAGGUCUUGUAAAUGCGGAAAAAUGGUGUGACUAUACGUGAAUGUUCCCAACUCAUUACGGAGGUCCUCAUGAAGGUUUUUGAGGAAAAAAAAUUGGGUGCUUCGGACGCCAAAUCCAUGGCUAAUACAUACGAAAAAUCGGUGAAUUUGGACGAUGCUAAAAAAAUGGCUUGUAAAUGCGAAAAUUGACGGUAAAAAAAUUGUUUGACUAUACAUGAAAGUUCUUCAACUCAUUACGGAGGUCCCCAUAAUAUUUUUAGAGAAAAAAAAUUUGUGUGCUCCGGUCGCCAUAUCUAUGGAUUAAUACACAGGAAAAAUUGGGGAAUUUGGGAGAUUCUUAAAAAAAGACUUCUAAAUGCGGAAAUGUACGUUAAAAAAAUAGUGUGAGUGUACUUGAAGGUUCUCCAUCUCAUUUCAGAGGUCCUUAUUAAGUCUUUUGAGAAAACAAUUUUGGAUGCUCCGUAAGGUAAAUCCAUAGGCUAAUACACACGAAAAAUCAGUGAAUUUGGGCGAUUCUUAGAAAAGUGCUUGGAAAUGCGGAAAUUGGCAUUAAAAAUGGUAUGAGUAUACGUGAAGAUUCCACAACUCAUUACGAAUGUCCUCAUAAAGUUUUUUGAGAAAAAAAAUUGGGUGCUCCGGACGCCAUAUCCAUGGGACAAUACAUACGAAAAAUUGGUAAAUUUGGGAAUUCUUAAAAAAAGACUUAUAAAUGCGGAAAUGAAAGUUAAAAAAAAUUGUAAAAAUAUGUGAAGGUUCCCCAACUAAUUAAGAAGGUACUCAUAAGGUUUUUUGAGAAAAUAAAAUUGGGUGCUUCUGUCGUCAAAUCCAUUGGCAUUUAAUAUACACGAAUAAUCGGAUAAUUUGGGCAAUUUUUAAAAUAAGGCUUGUAUAUGCGGAAAGGGGAAUAAAAAAAAUGCUGUGAGUAUACGUGAAGAUUCCCCAACUCAUUACGAAAGUCUUCAUAAUGUUUUUUGAGAUAAACUUUUUAGGUUCUCCGGACACCACAUCCAUGGGCUAAUACAUACGAAAAAUCAGUGAAUUUGGUGAUUAUUAUAAAAGGCUUGUAAAUGUGAAAAUGAAAGUUAAAAAAAUGGUUUGAGUAUACGUGAAGGUUCCCCAAUUCAUUACGGAGGUCCCCAUAAAGUUUUUUGAGAAAAAAAAUUUGGGUGCUCCGGACGCCAAAUCCAUGAGCAAAUACACACGAAAUAUCGAUGAUUUUUCAUUUAAAAAGUUUGUAGAUACGGAAAUGGGCGUUAAAAAAUUGUUUGAGUAUACGUGAAGGUUCCACAACUCAUUACGGAGGUCUGAAUAAAGUUUUUUAAGAAAAACUAUUUGGUGUGCCCCGGACGCCAGAGUCAUAGGGUAAUACACACAAAAAGUCCAGAAUUUGGGAGAUUCGUAAAAAAAAACUUGUAAAUGCGUAAAGGGGCAUUAAUAAAAUUGUGUGAGUAUACAUGAAAAUUCGACAGCUCAUUUCGAAGGUCUUCACUGAGUGUUUUGAGAAAAAAUUUGGGUUCUCCGAGCGUCAGAUCAUUAGGCUAAUACACACGAAAAUCGGUGAAUUUGGCUGAUUUUUAAAUAGAGACUUUUAAAUGCGAAAACGGGUGGUAAAAAUGGUGUGAGUGUACAUGAAGUUUCCCAACUCAUUACGGAGGACCUCAUAAAGUUUUUGAGAAAAAAAAUUGGGUACUUCGGGUGUCAAAUCCAUGGGUUAAUACUCACAGAAAAUUGAAGAAUUUGGACGAUACUUAAAAAAACCCUUGUAAAUGCGGAAAUGGACGUUAAAAAUAUGGUGUGAGUAUACGUGAACGUUCCCCAACUCAUUACGGAGGUCCUCAUAAAGUUUUUUGAGAAAUAAAAUUUCGGUGCUCCGGGUGCCAUAUCUAUGGGCUUACACACGUAAAAUAACAAAUUUUGGGAGAUUCUUAUAAAGGGGCUAGUAAAUGCGGAAAUGUGCGUUAAAAAAAUAGUGUGAGUGUACGUGAAGGUUCACAACUCAUUACCAAAAUCAUCAUAAAGUUUUUUGAGAAAAAAAAUUGGGUGCUCAGGACGCCAGAUCCAUGGGCUAAUACUCACGAAAAAUGGGUGAAUUUAGGUGAUUCUUAAAAAUGGGAUUUUAAAUGCGUGAAUGGGCGUUAAAAAUGGUGUGAGUAAUCAUUAAGGUUCGCCAACUCAUUACGGAGAUUCUCAUAAAGUUUUUUGAGAAAAAAAAUUGGGUGCUUCGGGUGCCAAAUCCAUGGGCAAUUACACACGAAAAAUCGAUAAAUUUGGACAAUACUUGAAAAAGGGAUUGUAUAGGCGGAAAUGGACGUUAAAAAUAUGGUAUGAGUAUACGUGAAAGUUCCCCAACUCAUUACGGUGGUCAUCAUAAAGUUUUUUGAGAAAAAUAAAUUUGGCUUCUCCGGACGCCAGAUCCACGGGCUAUAACACACAAAAAACUAGAAAAUUUAGGUGAUUCUUAAAAAGGGGCUUGUAAAUUUUGAAAUGGGGCGUUAAAAAAAUAGUGUGAUUAUACGUGAAGGUUCACCAACUCAUUUCAGAGGUCCUCAUUAAGGUUUUAAGUUUUUUGAGAAAAUAAUUUUGGAUGCUCCGAAAGCUAAAUUCAUAGGCUAAUAAACACGAAAAAUUGGUGAAUUUGGGCGAUUCUUAAAAAAGUGGUUGUUAAUAUCGAAAUGGGGAUUAAAAAAUGGUGUGAGUACACGUGAAGGUUCCACAACUCAUUACGGAGGUCUUCUUAAAGUUUUUUGAGAUAAAAAAAUUUGGGUGCUCCGGAUGCCAAAUUCAUGGGUUAAUUACAUACGAAAAAUCGGUAAAUUUGGGGGAUUCUAAAAAAGGUCUUGUAAAUGCGGAAAUGGAAGUUAUAAAAAUGGUAUAAAAAUACGUGAAGGUUCCCAACCCAUUACGAAGGUACUCAUAAAGUUUUUUAAGAAAAAAAAUUGGGUGCUUCUGUCACCAGAUCCAUGGGCAUUUAAUACACACGAAAAAUUAGAUAAUUUGGGGGAUUUUUAUAAUAGGGCUUGUAAAUGCAGAAAUGGAAAUAAAAAAAAGGUGUGAGUAUACAUGAAGGUUCCCAACUCAUUACGGAGGUCAUCAAAAAAAUUUUAAGAAAAAAAAUUUGGAUGAUUCGGGCGCCAAAUCUAUGGGCUAAGACAUAUAGAAAAUUGAAGAAUUUGGACGAUACUUGAAAAAGCGCUUGUAAAUGCAGAAAUAGACGUUAAAAAUAUUGUGUAAGUAUAAGUGAAGGUUCCCAACUCAUUAUGGAGGUCCUCAUAAUGUUUUUUGAGAAAUUUGGGUGCUGCGGGAGCCAGAUCCAUGGGCUAUAACACAAGAAAAAUUAGAAAAUUUGGGUGACUCUUAAAAAAGAGCAUGAAAAUUCGGAAAUGGGCAUUAAAAAAAUUGUAUGAGUAUACAUGAAGGUUCACCAAUACAUUACUAAAAUCCUUAUACAGUUUUUUGAGUAACAAAAAUUGGGUGCUCUGGGCGCCAGAUCCAUAGGCUAAUACAUACGAAAAAUCGGUGAAUUUGGGUGAUUAUUAAAAACGGGCUUUUAAAUACGGAAUUGGGCGUUAAAAAUUAUGUGAGUAUACAUGAAGUUUCCCCAACUAAUUACGGAGGUCUUAAUAAAGUUUUACGAGGAAAAAAAAUUGGGUUCUUCAGGUGCCAAAUCCAUGGAUUAACACACGAAAAAUCGAAGAAUGUGGACGAUACUUAAAAAUGGGCUUGUAAAUGCGGAAAUGGACGUUAAAAAUAUGGUGUGAGUAUACGUGAAGGUUCCCUAAUUCAUUACGGAGGUCCUUAUAAAGUUUAUUGAGAAAAAAAAAUUGGGUGCUCCGCACGUCAGAUCCAUGGGCUAUAACACACGAAAAAUCGGGUAAUUUGGGAGAUUCUUAAAAAAGGACUUCUAAAUGCGAAAAUGAGUGUUAAAAAAGUAGUGUAAGAGUACGUGAAGGUUCUCCAACUCAUUUCAGAGGUCCUCACUAAGUUUUUUGAGAAAACAAUUUUGGAUGUUCCGAAAGUCAAAUCCAUAGGCUAAUAUACACGAAAAAUUGGUGUAUUUAGGCAAUUCUUAAAAAAGUUCCUGGGAAUGCGGAAAUGGGCAUUAAAAAAUGGUGUGAGUAUACUUGAAGGUUCCACAAGUCAUUACGAAGGUCCUUAUAAAGUUUUUUGAGAAAAAAAAAUUGGGUGUUUCUGGCGCCAGAUCCAAUGGCUAAUACAUACGAAAAAUUGGUAAAUUUGGGGGAUCCUUAAAAAAGGACUUGUGAAUUCGAAAAUGGAAGUUAAAAAAAUGGUGUAAAAAUACGCGAAAGUUCCCCAGCUAAUUACGAAGGUACUCAUAAAGUUUUUUGAAAAAAAAAAUAAGGUGCUCCGGGCGCAAAAUCCAUGGGCUAAUAUUAACACACGAAAUAUCGAUGAAUUUUUCUUUAAAAAGUUUUGUAGAUGCACAAAAUUGGCGUUAAAAAAAUUGUUUGAGUAUACGUCUAGGUUCCCCAACUUAUUUCGGAGGUCCCAUAAAGUUUUUUAAGAAAAAUCAUUGGUGUGCUCCGGACGCCAGAGUCAUGGGGUAAUACACACGAAAAAUCGAGAAUUUUGGUGUUUCGUAAAAAAGGACUUGUAAAUGUGGAAAGGGGAAUUACUAAAAUUGUGUGAGUAUACGUGAGAUUUGACAACUCAUUUCGGAGGUGUUCAUAAAGUUUUUUGAGGAAAAAAAAUUUGGUGUUCUAGGCGGCAGAUCAAUGGGCUAAUACACACAAAAAAUUGGUGAAUUUGGGUGAUUUCAAAAAGAAACUUUUAAAUGCGAAAAUGGGCGAUAAAAAUGGUGUGAGUAUACAUGAAGGUUCCCAACUCAUUACAGAGGUCCUUAUAAAAAAUUUUAAGAAACAAAAUUGGCUACUUCGGGCGCCAAAUCAAUGGGAUAAUACAUACAGUAAAUUGAAGAAUUUGGACGAUAUUUGAAAAGCGCUUGUAAAUGCGAAAAUGGACGUUAAAAAUAUGGUGUGAGUAUAUGUGAAGGUUCCCCAACUCAUUACGGAGGUCCUCAUAAAGUGUUUUGAGAAAAGAAAAUUGGGUGCUCCGGAAUCCAGAUCCAUAUGCUAUAACACACGAAAAAUUAGAAAAUUUGGGCGAUUCUUAAAAAGGAGCUUCUAAAUUCGGAAAUGGGAGUUCAAAUAAUAGUGUGAGUAUAUGUGAAGGUUCACCAAUUCGUUCCUAAAAUCCUCAUAAAGUUUUUUGAGAAAAAAUUGGGUGUUCUGGACGCCAGAUCAAUGAGCUGAUACAUACGAAAAAUCAGUGAAUUUGGGUGUGUCUUACAAACGAGAUUUUAAAUGCGAAAAUGUGCGUUAAAAAUGGUGUGAGUAUACAUGAAGGUUCCCCAACUCAUUACGGAGGUCCUCAUAAAGUUUUUUGAGAAAAAGAAAUUGUGUGUUUCAGGUGGCAAAUUCAUGGGUUAAUACACAUGAAAAAUCAAAGAAUUUGGACAAUACUUAAAAAAGCGUUUGUAAAUGCGGAAAUGGACGUUAAAAAUAUGGUGUGAGUAUACGUGAAGGUUGUCCAACUCAUUACGGAGGUCAUCAUAAAGUUUUUUGAAAAAAAAAAAAUUGGUGUUCCGGAUGCCAGAUCCAUAGGCAUUAACACACGAAAAAUCGGGUAAUUUGGGAGAUUCUUAAAGAAAGACUUCCAAAUGCGGAAAUGGGCGUCAAAGAAAUAGUGUGAGUGUACGUGAAGGUUCUCCAACUCAUUUCAGAGGUCCUCAUUAAGUUUUUUGAGAAAAUAAUUUUGGAUGUUCCGGAAGCCAAAUCCAUAGGCUAAUACACAUGAAAAAUUGGUGAAUUUAGGCGAUUCUUAAAAAAGUGCUUGUGAAUGCGGAAAUGGGCUUUAAAAAUGGGGAAAGUAUACAUGAAGGUUCCACAACUCAUUACGGAGGUCCUCAUAAAGUUUUUUGAGAAAAAAAAAUUGGGUGCUCCUGGCGCCAUAUCCAUGGGUUAAUAAAUAUGAAAAAUUGGUAAAUUUUGGGGGAUUCUUAAAAAAAGACUUGUAAAUGCAGAAAUGGAAGUUAAAAAAAUGGUGUAAAAACACAUGAAGGUUCCCAACUCAUUACGAAGGUAUUCAUAAAGUUUUCUGAGAAAAAAAAUUGGGUGCUUCUGUCGCCAGAUCUAUGGACAUUUAAUACACACGAAAAAUCGGAUAAUUUGGGAGAUUUUUAAAAUAGGGCUUGUAAACGCGGAAAUGGGUAUAAAAAAAUGGUGUGAGUAUACGUGAAGGUUCCCCAACUCAUUACGGAAGUUUUCAUAAUGUUUUUGAGAAAAACUUUUUGGGUGCUCCGGGCGCCACGUCAAUGGGCUAAUACAUACGAAAAAUUGGUGAAUUUAGGCGUUUCUUAAUAAAAGGCUUGUAAAUGUGAAAAUGAACGUUAAAAAAAUGGUUUGAGUAUACAUGAAGGUUCUCAACUCAUUACGCAGGUCCCAUAAAGUUUUUUGAUAAAAAAAAUUGGGUGCUACGAGCGCCAAAUCAAUGGGCUAAUACACACAAAGUAUCGAUGAAUUUUUCUUUAAAAUGGGUUUGUAGAUGCGGAAAUGGGUGUUAAAAAAAUUGUUUGAAUAUACGCGAAGGUUCCCAACUCAUUACGGAGGUCCCCAUAAAGUUUUCUAAGAAAAAUAUUUGGUGUAAUGGGAUAAUACACACGAAAAGUUGAGAAUUUGGGCGAUUCGUAAAAAAGACUUGUAAAUGCGAAAAGGGGCAUUAAUAAAAUUGUGUGAGUAUAUGUGAAGAUUCCAAAGCUCAUUUCGGAGGUCUUCAUAAAGUUUUUUGAGAAAAAUAUUUUGGGUGCUAUGGGCGCCAUUUUAAUGGGCUAAUACACACGAAAAAUCGGUGAAUUUGGGUGCUUUUUAAAAAGAGAUUUUUAAAUGUGAAAAUGGGCGUUAAAAAUGGGGUGAGUAUACAUAAAGGUUUCCCAACUCAUUACGGAGGUCCUACUAAAGUUUUUUUAGAAAAAAAAAUUGGGUUCUUCGGGCGCCAAAUUCAUGGGCUAAUACACACAGAAAAUAGAAAAAUUUGGACGAUACAUAAAAAAGCGCUUUUAAAUGCGGAUAUGGAUGUUAAAAAUAUGGUAUUAGUAUACGUGAAGGCUCGCCGACUCAUUACGGAGGUCCUCAUAAAGUUUUUUGAGAAAAAAAAUUGGGUGCUUCGGGUGCCAGAUCCAUGGGCUAUAUAACACACGAAAAAUUAGAAAAUUUGAGUGAUUCUUCAAAAGGAGCUUGUAAAUACGGAAAUGGGUGUUAAAAAAAUUGUGUGAGUAUACGUGAAGGUUCACCAACUAAUUACGAAAAUCCUCAUAAAAUUUUUUGAGAAAAAAAAUUUGGGUGCUUUGGGAGCCAGAUUCAUGGGCUAAUACACACGAAAAAUCGGUGAAUUUGGGUUAUUCUUUAAAAUGGUAUUUUAAGUGCGGAAAUGAGCGUUAAAAAUGGUGUUAGCAUACAUGAAGGUUCCCCAACUCAUUACGGAAGUACUUAUAAAGUUUUUUGAGAAAAAAAAAUUAGGUGUUUCGGGUUUCAAAUCCAUGGGCUAAUACACACUAAAAAAUCAAAGAAUUUGGACGAUACUUAAAAAAGGGCUUGAAAAUGCGGAAAUAGACGUUAAACAUAUGGUGUGAGUAUACAUAAAGGUUUCCCAACUCAUUACGGAGGUCCUCAUAAUGUUUUUGGAGAAAAAACAAAUUGGGUGCUCCGGACACCAGAUUCAUGGGCUAUAACACACGAAAAAUUAGAAAAUUUGGGCGAUUCUUAAAAAGGGACUUGUAAAUGCGGAAAUGGGCUUUAAAAAAAUAGUGUGACUAUACGUGAAGGUUCACCAACUCAUUAAGAAAGUCCUCACAAAGUUUUUUGAGGAAAAAAAAUUGGGUUCUCCGACGCCAAAAUAAUGGGCUACUAGACACGAAAAAUCAACGAAUUUGGGAUACUCUUAAAAUAAGGCUAGUAAAUGCGGAAAUAAGUGUUAAAGAAAUGGCGUGACUAUACGUGAACGUUCCCUAACUCAAUACAGAGGUCCUCAUAAAGUUUUUGUAGAAAAAAAAAAUUGGGUGCUCCAUGCGCCAAAUUCAUGGGAUAAUACAUAUGGGGAAUUUGGACGAUUCUUAAAAAGGUCUUGUAAAUAAUGAAAUGGGAGUUUAAAAAAAUGGUGUGAGUAUAAAUAAAGGUUCCCCAACUCAUUACGGAGGUCCUCAUAAAGGUUUUUAUCCAUGGGUAAAUACACAUGAAAAAUUGGAAAAUUUGGGUGAUUCUUUAAAAAAUGGCUUGUAAAUGUGAAAAUAGGCUUUGAAAAAUGGUGUGAGUAUACGUGAAGUUUCCCCAACUCAUUACGGAGGUCCUCAUAAAGUUGUUAGACAAAAAAUUUGGGUUCCCCGGGCAUAUCCAUGGACACAAACGAAAAAUUGAGAAAUUUGGGCGAUUCUUAAAAAAUGCUUGUAAAUACGGAAAUUGACGUUAAAAAAAUGGUGUGAGUAUACGUGAAGGUUCUUCAACUAAUUACGGAGAUCCUUAUAAAGUUUUUUGAGAAAACAAAAUCAUGGUGCUCUGGACGCCACAUCUAUGGGCUAAUACACACGAAAAAUCGCUGAAUUUGGGUGAUUCUUAAAAAAAGACUUGUAAAUGCAGAAAUGAGCGUUAAAAAAAUGUUCUUAGUAUACGUGAAGGUUCCCCAACUCAUUACUGAGAUCCUCAUGAAGUUUUUUGAGAAAACAAAAUUGAUUGCUCUGGGCGCUAAUCCAUGGGCAAUACACACGAAAAAUUGGAGAAUUUGGGUGAUUCUUAAAAAAAAGUUGUAAAUGCGGAAAUGAGAGUUAAUAAAUGGUGUGAGUAUCCGUUAAGGUUCCCCAUCUCAUUACGAAGGACCUCAUUAAGUUUUUUGAGAAAAAUAAUUUGGGUGCUCCGGCGCCCGAUCCAUGUUCUAAUACAGACAAAAAAUCGAUGAAUUUGGGCGAUUUAAAAAAAAGGCUUGUAAAUGCGGAAAUGGGCGUUAAAAAUGGUGUGAGUAUACGUAAAGAUUUAACAACUCAUUUCAGAGGUUCUCAAAAGUUUUUUGAGAAAAAAAAAUAGGUGCUUCGUGCGCUAGAUCCAUGGGUUAAUAAUACACACGAAAAAUGGGGAAUUUGGGCGAUUCUUAAAAAGGGGAUUGUAAAUGCGGAAAUGGGAGUUAAAAAAAUGGUGUGAGUAUACGUGAAGGUUUCCCAACUCAUUAGUGAGGUCCUUAUAAAAAAUUUUAAGAAAAAUAUUUUGGGUGCUCCUAGUGCCAGAUCCAUAGGCUAAUACACACGAAAAAUCAGAAAUUUUGGAAGAUUAUUAAAAAAGUACUUGUAAAUGCAGAAAUUGGGGUUACAAAAUUGUGAGAGUAAGGUUACCCAACUCAUUAAGGAGGUCCUUAAAAAGUUUUUUGAGAAAAAAACUUUGGCUUCUCCAGCUCCGGAUCAAUGGGCUAAUACACACGAAAAAUCGAUAAAUUUGGGCGAUUCUUAAAAAAGUGCUAGUAAAUGCGGAAAUGGGCAUUAAAAAAUUGUGUGAGUAUACGUGAAGGUUCCCCAACUCAUUACGGAGGUCUUCAUAAAGUUUUCUUAAAAAAAAAAAAUUGGAUGCUCUGAGCGCCAGAUCCAUGGGCUAAUACACACGAAAAAUCGGAGAAUUUUGGCGAUUCUUAAAAAGGGCUUGUAAAUGUGAAAAUGCAUUAAAAUGGUGUGAGUAUACGUGAAGUUUCCCCAACUCAUUACGGAGGGCCUCAUAAAGAUUUUUAAGAAAAAAAUAUUGGGUGCUCCGGGCGCGAGAUCCAUGGGCUAAUACACACAAAAAAUCAGGGAAUUUGGGCGAUUUUUAAAAGAGGGCUUGUAAAUGCAAGAAUAGGGAUUAAAAAAUGGCGUGAGUAUACGUAAAGAUUCCCCAUCUCAUUACGGAGGUCCUCAUAAUAUUUUUUGAGGAAAAAAAUUGGGUGCUCCGAGAGCCAGAUCCAUGGGCUAAUAAACACGAAAAAUUGGGAAAUUUAGGUGAUUUUUAAAAAAAGACUUGUAAAUGCGGAAAUGGGCGUAAAAACAUGGUGUGAGUAUACGUAAAGGUUCCCAACUCAUUACGAAUGUCCUUAUAAAGUGUUUUGAGAAAAAAAAUUGGGUGCUUCGAACGCCAGAUACAUGGGCUAAUACACACUAAAAAUCGGUGAAUUUAGGUGAUUCUUAAAAAAAAGCUUGUAAAUGUUAAAUUGGGCGAUAAAAAAAUGGUGUGAGUAUAUGUUAAGGUUUCCCAACUCAUUAACGAGGUCCUCAUAAAGUUUUUUAAGGAAAAAAAAUUGGGUGCUCCAGGCGCCAUAUCUUUGGGCUAGUACACACGAAAAAUUGGGAAAUUUGUGUGAUUUCUAAAAAUGGCUUGUAAAUGCAGAAAUGGGCGUUAAAAAAAUGGUGUUAGUAUACGUGAAAGUUCCCCAACUCAUUACGGAAGUCUUCAUAAAGUUUUUGAGAAAAGAAUUUUGAAUGCUCCGGAUACACAAGAAAAAUUGAGAAAUUUGCGCGAUUCCUAAGAAAGGCAUGUAAAUGCGAAAAUGGGCAUUAAAAAAAUAGUGUUAGUAUAUGUGAUUGUUCCACAACUCAUUACGGAGGUCCUUAUAAAAAUUUUUGAGAUAAUAAAUUUAGGGUGCUCAGGGGCGGCAGAUCCAUGGGCAUUAGCACACGAAAAAUCGGUGAAUUUGGGAGAUUUUUUUUAAAUGGCUUGUAAAUGCGAAAAUGAGCGUUAAAAAAAUAGUGUUAGUAUAUAUGAUGGUUCCCCAACUUAUUACGGAGGUACUCAUAAUAAUUUUUGAGAAAAAAAUUAUGUGCUCCAGGGCGCCAGAUCCAUGGACUAAUACACACGAAAAAUUGUAAAACUUGCAUGAUUCCUAAAAUAAGGCAUGUAAAUGCAAAAAUGGUGAGGCUAUACAUACAAUUUCCCCAGGUCAUUACUGAAACAGAAACCUCCAAAAAAGGGCAAUGGUUUUGCAAAAACAAGCCCGAAAGUCGUAUCUCCAAAAAAAAAUUCAUUGAAGUUGCACACGAAAAAUAGAGAAAAUGAACUAAUUUUUUUUUUUUCAGUGGACCCUAUAUGCUAUUAAAAUGGAGCAGAUCAUGGUGAGGCUAUACAUACAAUUUCCCUAGGUCAUUACUAAAGGUUUUGGAAAAAAAAACACAUCACAAAAAAAAUAUUAAAUAACUAACACAUGAAAAAACUUUUAAAAACACAUAAUUUUGUUGAAUGGCCUCUUAGUUAUAUAUAAAUGACGCGGAUAAUGGUGAAAUUAAAAGGUCUUAGUCAUAAAAACUUUUUUCUCAAAUUAAUUUCAUGCAUCUAUAUCUGAAAUACUGAAGACAAGACAUCAGAAGUAUAUUGCAAACUGAAGAAGUUUGAAUUCAGCAUACUAUCCUUCAAAAACAAACUUACAGAAGUAGAAACCUCCAUGAUUUUGAGGUCUCCGCUGGUACUCAGUAAACCAUUUUGAAAUUCUUGAAAAGAAGCAUAGAAUAACAUGCACAAACAUGCCUAGCCCCUAGAAAAUUUAAUUGAGAACACAUCCAACAAAUUGAAAGAUAUAACAAGGAAAACAAUACGCAGCCCAGAUAUGGGGACAAAAACAAACUACAGUUUAAAACAGUGCUUGAUACACUAUAAAACCUAAAGAUAACUAAGCAACAAAAGUAAGAAAUUGUCUUAAAAAGUUCCGCUUAAACAUAUGAAAAAGACUGAUACUAACUCUGAGGUGAUGCUUUUGCAACCCCACCACUAGGUGGAACAGACUGCGAGGUUGGAGCUGCUUCAGAAGCAUAUGCUGGAGGCUGGGAGUAAGCACCAUAGGCACUGUUGUAAGGUGGUGGCUGCUGGCCAUAACUUGGCGGAGCGCCAUAAGACUGGGCACCAUAACCUGGCUGAGCUGGUGGAGCACCAUAGGCAGAAGAGGGAGGUCGCUGAGCGUUGGGAUCAGCCUGGGUAUAACCUGAUUGAGCAGCUGGUUGAGGAUACCCGGGUUGCGCAGUGGGAGGCUGAGCAUAACCAGCUUGUGCACUAGGAGACUGCUGUGGUUGACCAUAACUUGCCUGACUAGGAGGCUUUUGAGCCUGAGGGGCCCCAUAACUAGCAGCAUAGCCUCCAGCUGGCUGUGUACCAUACCCACCUUGAGAAGUUGGGGGCACCCCAUAUCCAGCCUGAGCAGAGCCUUGAGAUGGGUAACUAGGAUUAGGGCUGGGCUGCUGGCCAGAAUGAUAUCCUUGUUGACCCGUGGCUGAUGCUGGUGGAGGUGCUUGACUGCCAUCACUUUGGGUACCAUAUGACGAGUUCUGGCCAUCUGAUGUUGGGUUUGAGGCAUUCCCAUAGCCAGCAGUAGAGCUAUAACCUUGUUGCUGCUCAUAACCAGAACCCUGAUAACCACCAGAUUGAGGGGCAGGUGCAUGAUAUCCACCAUAGCCAUCCUGGGCAUAAGCUUGUCCUUGGCUGUAACCAGAGGCAGAUUGCUGGUUGUAACCAUAGGCACUAGUAUCAGUUGAAGCAGCUGAACCUCCAGCAGUUUGCUGCUGUUGUUGUGGAGCCUGUUGGUUGUAGUAAUCAUACCCACCUGCCUGAGAUUGUUGAUUUUGAGCAGCACUCUGAUCCCAGCCAGAGGCAUAUCCAGCAGAGGCAGGUUGAGGAGGGUAGCCAGGAUAAGAUGGUUGAGAUGGGUAUGCACCAGGCUGACCAUAGCCAUAACCAGAUUGUUGCAUAGGUGCACCAGGAGGGGCCCAGCUUGUAGGAGGCCGGGCCUGAUAACCUUGUUGUUGAUAUCCUCCGGACAUCCCUUGAUUCCUAGCACGAUUCUGCACAAGAAUUGUUGUCUAAACUAACCAAGAAUAUGAUUGAUUCAAGCAUAUUUAAAUAACUCACAUUGCAAGGGCAGACUAAGCCACACCCAGGUAGCAUAAUCAUAGCAGAUAAAACAGUAACUUAUACCACAAACAUAUAACAAUUGAUAUUAGGUAUGCAUCAAGACAGAUGUAAGACUUACUGGUUGGGAGGUACAAACUCCUGGCAGAUGCUCAUCCUCACCCUAUUUGAAGUGAAGGAUACCAAAGCAAAAGGCAAAAAACAAAUACACACACAUUCUAUAUGUAGGCAAGAUAACUCUUUAAGAUGGCAAGAUACCACUAUAAGAUAACCAAGGCACCACUAUAGGCCAAGGGACUUGACCAAUAAUAAAAGAUGAUGGAGUAAUCUGUUCAUUAUGUCAUAAGCAGAGUGUUCAGAUUUUUAUAUGAUAAUAAUAUGGUGUAAAUUUAUAUACCCAGAGAAGACAAAUAACUAUUUCAAUGACAUGCAAAUUAGACAAACGACGAACUUCAAUAUUAAGAAUAAAUAUGUUGUGUUUGCAAAGUAGCAAGAGCAGUUCACCUUGAGGUUCCAAGAUGAGCAAUCACUACUUGAAUUGGGUUCACCCAUAAAAGAAGUGGACCACAGGGGCACCAACAACAAGGGAAACCACAGCGUGAUAAUGUAUGUCAUUAAUAACACUGCCAGAAAGCAGAUUCCUACAUGCCACAUCACACUUGAAGGGCAACAAUUCCGUUUUUCGAUAAUGAGAAAUGCGAACCUAGCAGUACUGCUAACAAUCAAGAGGAGAACACACAAAACUGACAUACUAAUGGUCCUUAAAGCACUCCAAAUCUCAAAGGAAGUUUGAUCUUCAUAGCCAUUACUAAAAGGUCUAUGGAGAAAGGGAAAAAAUCAGAUACUAGCGGAUAAUCAAUAGUAAUGAAUGAGGUGGAUUUUUCUUGAGAGAAACCAAAUGAAGCACUAGAAAAUCCUGAGGCACAAAAAAGUUGUCCUCUGGCUGAAUAAUGACAUCAACAGUAGAUAAUUACACCAAACACUAUUUGUUACAACACUUGUGUAGUACAUUCAUAUAAUAUCUCAAGAUUGACACCCAAAAGAUACAAUGAUAAUUUCAACAAAUCUUAGUUUCCUCCAUUGCAUCCUAGCAAAAUCAGUCCCUCAUUUACUCCCAGAAUAUGACAUUAGUUAUCAAUAAUUAGGUUGGAGACCAUACCAGAACAAUGCUGAGGGAACACCAACACUUAGGGUUCCAUGUUGGUGUCACCAUUGUCCAAUACAUACUAAGCCUACAAAUUUUCCAAUAAUAAUAUCAGUGAUCAGAUACAAAAUUAACCAGCAUAGUUAUAUGUUGUCUCUUGAUAUUAACCAAGUACCCAAACCAAGAGUUAUUGCACAACUCAGAUUAGAAUAAUCCUCAAUAUUAGGGAAAUUUUUAGACAGACUUAGUUACCUUCAAGGAGAACCUCUCCAAAACCUGCGCCUCACAAAAAUCAGAACAUCUAAAGUCCAAUGAAAUAUAGAUCAAUAGACAUUGAGGCAACUAAACAUUUUGAUAAGCCAUCUUAAACCUGAUAAUGCCUUGGGUUAGAAACUGAUCUCUUGCUCCAGCAACAUCCAACUAAUUAAAAAGAACCGAUGGAAAAAAAUGUUGACAUAUGUAGGUGUCAUGUCACACUACAGAUAUAUUAUGUGGAUAACAAACUAUUAAUCCUUCUAUUUAAAGUAAUGAAGCUAUAGUUAAGAGUGGAGCAAAAUACUCUCAAAGACCUAUUUGCAACUAGAAAGCAUAUCUCCAAUAUUAAUAAGAAUACUUCCUUCCAAAAACUGAAGCACAGCAAGAGCCAAUCUCCUUCAUCCAGGGGUCAUUGAAAUGAACUACAAUUCCCAUUAACUGACGCUGUCGACCAAGAAGAGGACUGGCAAAAUGAUAUCUGCAAACACUAUGAAUUCUAGCGAUGCAAGGACGGAUAUAGGUAAUUGACAGCAACAUACAUACAUGAAACUUUCAGAUAUAGAUGAUGAACAUCCUGAUUAAGUCGUAUAUUGGAUUAGUAAUUGCUCAUUCAUGAUGCUCUAGCAACAGAAGUAAACUGUAACUUAAAUGUGUCAGGAAAUUCCACCACUGCUGAAAAAAUUAAUACCACUGCAUCUUCAAGAUGGUAAGAGAUGAAAUUUGAACAUUCAGUAUCAAGAGAACUACAAAAGCAACUCUUACAGGACUAAAGUAUAAAAGUGCAGUCUUCCACAACAUGCAACUUGCAACAUACACACACACAGUUACAAACUACAAACAGCAAAUAACAUACAAAUAUAGACUGUUUAAAAUUUGAAGGAGAUUAAAUGCAUCAUCAUGAGGCAAGAGUUCAUCUACCUUUGCUGCCUAUUAUAUUCUUGCAAUAAAAAGGAAAGAAUAGAAAGUGAUAUCCAAUUACGCAUACCUCACUAAUUACUUCAUACACCAGCUGCUUAGCAGCCUCAAUCUGUUCACUUGACCCAUCAAUUUGAACUGUUCUUUCCUGUGAUGUAUCACCUGGAGGCAAGUGCAAAGGGAUCACCUGUGACAAAGUAGGUAAAGAUAAGAAAGAAAGCUGGAAAAAAAUCUCCUAAACAAUUGCUUCACACACUGCAAAGGACUGUAAUUCUUCAUAAAAGAUAAGUGCCAUUGCCAACCAAAAACUGCAAAUUAUUUGGGAAAAGCAUUUUGCAGUUACCUGAAUACGUGCUCCAGUUCUUGCCUGCAUACUUUUUAUAGUCUCACCUCCUUUUCCAAUAACAAGACCAACCUAACAAAACACGUACCAAUACACAUGAGACAAACAGUAGAAAGCUAACCACGAGACAACUAAACUACAACACUAAAUCUCACCUUGUUGUUGGGGACUUUCAAGGAAAACUGUUCUCCUCCAGAUUGCUGUCCAGGUAAUCUUCGGGAAACUAGACCAGAACCACCUGAAUCAGCCUGUUUCAGAUACAUAAUGCAUUAUUAACAAACUGAAAACAGAUCAAUUAAUGGUCAAAAGCAUGAGAAGAUGGAUAUAAUUCAACAAAAGAAUUACUGGAGUUUGACACUCUUUUAGGUAUUGUAAGGCAAAGAUUAGUACCUCAGAAAGAACCUCAGUAAUCAACUGUUCAGCCUUAGCUAUUUGGUCUGGAGUACCCAUGAGUUCAACUGCUCUAUUUGUAGAAUUAGGAUCAGCAUCCAUGUCUCUAGUAACCUGAAUUUUGGCUCCAGAUUGGAGUUGAAGAUACUUGAUGGUCUCCCCACCUUUUCCUAUAAUCACACCAACUCUGCCAUUUGGUAUUUCAAUCUUCUUGCUUUGCCCCGGAUAACCAUAUGAACUUGUAACUGAAGGAGUAACAAUGGGCUUGUCUGCAGUCAAGAAAAGCCACAGAUAUUUAACAUCUCAACAAGAUCUUAUAAUAAACCAGAAUUGCUAUCAUAGUGAAAUCUAAAACCCUACUACCUUGCCAACUAAUCACAUCAGUGGUAGCCAAUUUACAAACACAAAUUUGGUAUGGAUAAUUGUAUUUCAUCAAAAAUAUUUUGUAAACAGAUUAUUUUUGGUCGGGUAUAGAAGUAGGUGAAAAUUACAAUAACAAUGAGCAAUAAAAUAACACUUCGGUAAUUAUAAAAAAAAAAAACUUCAUUUCCUGAAAAUUGUUCUCCCACAGCAAAAAGGCAUAAACACAAAUCAACAACAACAAAAGGAAGUAAACUACAACGGGCUGUAUAAGAUAUAAGGAUACCUGUAAAUAACGAACUCAAAUUCUUCUUUUUGGUGUCAAUAGAGCGGUAUCCAAAAGGAAAAGAAUUUCAGUGAGAAAAUACAUCUUUUUAAUUUAAAAAACAUCUCACCUUCAUCUCAAAAACCAUCAUAAGAGAGCACACAAAAUCAAUUACAGAAAAGGACAGAAAAUUCAUAAAUCGUGUAAACCUGACUACCGUACAAACUAAUUAAAUCAAUCGUAGCCAAUAUAAACACUAUUUUGAUAUUGGGUUUAACGAUAUCUGUAAAAAAUGAACUUCGUUUUAAUAGUGCAGUAUCUCUAACAGUAAAGAAUUACAGAAAAAAUUACAAUUCUUUAAAUAAAACUCAAUUUCGUGUCAAAGCAUCCAAAGAAAACAGACAAACUACACAAAACACAAAAUCCAUAACAGCAAAAGGCUAGAAAAAGCUCAUAACCCUUACGUUCAUAGGAAUCAUAUCCACCAGCACCAGCACCACCGCCGUUAUUAUCAACUCUAGGUUUCUUAGCUUCAGCACUAUUCAACAACCUAGCAGCGAUCUCCUGAGCCUUCUGCUUAGCCAACUGGAAAUCAUCCAUGGGCGGCGGAACAUUGUUGUAAGAAGAAGGAGGAGCAGCACCAUCAGAAGGAGAUAAGGAAGCGAUCGGAGCAGAAAAUCCAGUAGGUCUACGUGGACCAGGAGACGGUGUCGUUUGAUCAUCGUACUUCCUCUUGUUGUUACCGGCUUCUGGUGCUCCGUACUGUGCUUCUUCCGCCAUUGUUGCUUUCGAUUUGCUCAGAUUUGGGAGAAAAAGGAGUGCAGCGGCGGUAGGGUUUUCGAAACCCUAGUGAGAGAAGUAGUAGUAAAGAGAAUGAACAAUUUCGGGUCAACAAUGAGUUUUAUAUGAAUUUGACCCAUGACUAGAUUAGAUAUUUUUUUAUUGAUAGAAAUUGGGCCUCAAGUCUCUCCCCGAUCUAUCUAAGAUCGUGUCCUAAAGCAUUGGUAAGCUAUCUAUGUUCGGAACAAAUUUUAGGUUCAUAUAAUUUAUAGUGUUGAUCGAUUGUAGUUAUACAAUCUUGAAAUCAAGUUUAUGUGUCUUGAUCUUUUUUGAAUUACUAAACAUACUAUUUAUGUUCGUAAUUUCUAAUUGAAUCUGUUGAAAUAUUGUUUGUUUAUCUAUAACAUAAUUCAUAUACAGAUAUUAGUUUUUACCAAUUCAGAUAUGAUAAAUCAAAGCUUUCAAAUAAGAAGUCGUGAUGUGUUUCAUUAUAAUUUUUCAGUGCUUCCUGUUAAGUUGAUGCAGAGUCUUAUCAAAUACUGUUUUGUUGUAAAUUCUUCUCAAGUUAUGCUUUAAAAUGAUUUUGUUAUGCAAUAGAUCAUAUUCAUUAUCUAUAACUGAAUGAUGAACAGUUUUCAAUGAAUUACCGUUACACUAGCAACAUAUAAGAUUCUCAUUUUCAGCAAUCUAUCUUUAGUUGAUAAUUACCUUUUAGACCAGUGAUAGCAAUCAUAUGGAUUUUGACAAGAUCCAUACAAUCAUACAAACUGUCUUUCGAUUAAAACAAGAUAUCUCGAUGAUACCGAGUAUUCUUCAAAAGUAGUAAGAUUAUAUUUCUUGUAUGUGUAUUAUACACUAUCUUACUUGUGUCCAGAACUUUAAAAAAUUUAUAAUGAUAAAAAUUACUUCCUGUUUUUGUUCUUUUCAAAUAUAGUAAUUAAAUUUGUCGUGAUAUGUUUAUUAACAGUGUGAUCUCUAUACAAUUUUCAAUUUUUGGACGUUCAAAUAUGAAAAAUCAAAUCUCCUAAAUUAGCAAUCACAAUAUGUUUUCUCAUAAUCUUCAAUGCUUUUUGUUAAGUUGAUGCAAAGUCCUUCCAAUGUCAUUUUGUUGCAACUUCACCCAAAACAAUGUUUUAAAGUCAUUUAACAAUAAAGUAGACCAAAUACAUUUUAUGAAUAAAUGAUGAGCAGUUUUCAAUAAACUAUCAUCACACAAAUAACUAAUAUCAACACAUGAAAUUUUCAUUUUCAACAAUUUAUCUUUAGUCACUAAAUUUUUUUCUGAAGAGACAAUCACAAGAAAAGUUCUCAUUUUCUCAAAGGAAACUUAUUUUCAACCUCUUCACAACCCAAAUCUCAACAAGUCAAUUAUUCAUUUUCUGAAGGAAAACUUAUGUAAAUGUAUACUCAAACCAUUUAGUUUAUUAACAUGAUCAUAGUAUAUACUAUUUAUACCUUUCAAUUAUAUAUGCGUGUAUAGAUAUAUAUCUUAUAAGUAUAGGAUGUACAUAUUUAAUAUAAAAUAUAUAUUGUAUUCAUAUUUUGUAAAUUAGAUGGCCCAGCCUAGUGGUUUGAGCUUGGGACUUCCAUGUUGGAGGUCUCAAGUUCGAAACCCCUUGCCAGAGCAAGGGGUUUGCCUUCUGGGUCGAGCUCGUCGCACCAGGCUUGCCUAGUGCAGGUUACCUCUCUAUGUGGUUUGCAAGCUAUUGCAUAGGAGCGAGGGUUUUACCCUGUGCGCACCCAAAGGGUAGCGGCUGCGGGUUUCCCUUGUCAUAAAAAAAUAAUAAUAUUAGACCGUAACUUUUUCUUUCUAAAUUCAAAGUAAAGUCCAAAAUAGCUUGGGCUUGAUCUUUAGUGAUGUUCUUACAAUUUGUUGCAUCAAGUAGUCUUAUAAGUAAGCUUUUUAUAAAAUUACUCGUUGAUCAAAGACUUUCAAGCAUAUUAAAAGCUAAAAUACUACACUUAUAUUAGAGUAGCAUAUGAUGAUGCAUGUCUCUUCUAUAGUAAGAUGAUUCUUAUAUUAGUUUCAAACCUUUUUCAUAUUAUCGAUCAUAUUUCUACUUGAGCUUUUAUACAACCUUAUCAAAGGAAGAAGUGGACCUAGUAAAAAACACGAACAUUCGAUAAUUCUAAAAAGAAUGUACAUAUGUAUGUAUAUAUUUUCAAAUUGCUUUCUUCUAAUCUCAUAUAUAUAUAUAAUAUUUUUUUCAAAUUAUUUUCUUCUAGUCAAAUUUCAAACAUGAUAUAAACUAGAAGAAAAUAAGUGACUAAUAAAGCAAAUUUAAUAUCACAUGUUGUAAGGUGUAAGUCACAAGUCUCUCAAUGGUAACAACACAAAUGUUUAUCUUUUUUUGUGUGUAUACUUUUUUAAUCUAUUUCUCUCCUCUUUUCCCCCCCUCACAUUUAUUCAAAAAGUAAUAGAGUAGUUCAACAAUAAUUUCCCCCCUUUAAGGUUGGAGUAUACACAAACAUUGAUAAGGCAUUUUGCCAGCUUUUCAUUCAUAUAAAGUUAGGCUCUUUUUUUCUUUAUUAUAGAAAAUAACGACAACAAAAUAUUCAGUAUUAUUCCGUAAGUAAAAUUUUGAGAAAGUAAAGUAUAAUUAUACACCGAUUAUAUUCGUAAAACAUAAAAUAUAAGAGAUGUUGCCAAUACCAUUAAGAAUUUUGAGUUGAAUACAAACGUACAUAUAUUUCUCACACGAAAUAUAAAUAUUUAUAUUUCAAGAAUCACUAAAAGUACAACAAACAUUUAAAAAGCCAAAUUCACAAUUACAUAACUGCAUACAAUUGUAUGUACAUAAUACAUAAAAAUUGUCAAAUCUUAUUUGAUACCUAUCCUGAUGAAUGGAAGAAAAUUUCGCCCCAAACACCAUACUUAUUAAUAAAAAAAAAUAACAAAACAAGCAAAUUCAAAUCUUGAAUCCUCUAUUUAUUGCUAUUAAUUAUUCGUGCCCAUGCAUAGCAGACAUUGCCACUAAAGCAAGUUUUUGUAGAUUCAAUUUCACAACAGUAUCAGUAAACAUUUUUGUAUCUUCACCAGUAUUCCCUUCUGGAAUAUCAACAAUAUAUGAUUCCAAAACUAUAGUAUAAUUUUUUCCAUUUUUGCUGAAUUCAUUUACUGAUGUAACUGAUUUAUAAUUUGUCAAUCUAUGUUCACCUCCAACAACUCGAAAACUUAAAAUAUGUUUUUCAUCAUCUAAUAUUUCUAGACGUUCUGUACUUGUAGAUGCAGGUAUUCCUGACACAACUGUGACUUCUCUUAUGCUGCCAACUCCGCCAUCACCUAUAUCGAGUGACGAAGUCAAAAAUUUUACUAAGAAAGAUUAAAAUAUAAAGAAAUUAUUGGUGUAAUAUUUUAUUUCAAUAAUAAAAUGCAUAUACACCAACAUAAAUAAAUUCACAAAGAAAUCAAGAGGAGUGAUGUCAAUAUGUAAAUAUGUAUAUACAUACAUAAAAAGAAUAUUUUUACCCAGCUACAUAAUGUAAGUCAAGUACAUGUGACUCCAUCACUUAUUUUGAAUUUAAUUUUUUGUAAGAAGGAUCGAUUACUUGCUACAGUAUUUCGAUUAUUGUAUAAAAAUGCAACUUUUGUCGAUGAGGGGAAUUGUGGUGAUUAAGAUAGGGUCGUCAAAAUUAUUGAAAUCAUAGCAUAAAAAUGCAUUAUAUUGUGAAAUACUUAGAUUAUUAUUUUUUAAGUCUAGCAAAGUAGUACAUGUAUAAAAUAAAAUAAAACAGAAAGAGAAAUGAGACUUUUAUUUUUGAUCGAAUUAAACAAAUAAAAAACGAACUUUUGACAUUAUUAAUAAAAGAUAAUUCAAAGUAUAUUAUCACUACGACAUUUUUGGACAAAUUUUAUACGUUUAAUUUGAACAAGAAAAAUGAAUAAGGUUCGAGAUUAUUUUUUUCAUUGAGAAGAUCAAUAGUGUUUCUAUUUACUCCGGCUUGACCUUAACCACUAGAAGAAGUCUCGCUUGUCCAUACGUGAAAGGUAAAUUGAAUUAUAAUGUAAUUAAAUUAUUAUUUAUUAUAAUAAUAUAUGUUUAUCAUAAGAUCAAUUUAAACUUUUAGAUGAAGUAAUUACACACCUGACACGAUCCUGCAACUUUUGAUGAAGUGCUUAUACUUCUCGGGAUUAUCAAAACGACGGACAAAUGGCCACACGACAUCGACGGGCGCGUCUAUGCGCUGCGUCACAAGAGAAGUACAAGUGUUUGGUAAAUCCUCAAAGGUAUGGUAAUUUCGAAUCAAUGGUUCCAAUUCUGCAAAUUCUUCUUGUGUUAGCCCUUGUGGAACUAAUAAUUGGCCAUCACCAUCCAUUUAAGGAACGAGGGGAAGAAUCGACGAGGCGAGUGUUCUUGAAGAGAAAAAAAAUCACAAAUUUGAUUUGAUUGAAAAUGGAGAAAAAAAUGGCAAAUUGUUUUAUCCUUCUUUUGGUUUUUGGGAGAUAGGAAGAGAAGUUAUAGGCUUUCUUUUUGUGAGAGGGAAAAUACAUGUGGGCAUGGGUUGUUUGGCUUUAUUUAUUAGAGUAUCGUAGGCAGUUCCGUGCAUGAAGUAGGCGUAAUUUUGUAGGUGAAAUAAUAAUGAUUAACCGACUUUAUGAGAUAAUUAACAUUAAUUGAGUGAUUUUUAUGUCAUAAAACAAAGUUCAGUGAUUUUUUGAUUUGAAAAAUUAAUUCGAUUUUUAAAUUUUUAAUCAGAAACUUCGAGUUCAUACUAUAUGGAUUAGAUAUAAUUUGUUGGUAAAGAACAUUUUUUAAAAUUAAUUGAGCUUUUAUAUAUGCGGUCUGAAUUUAAAUUAUAUUAAGAUAUGAAACAAAUAUAGAAUAUCGAGAAAAAAAAGAAGAAAAAACAACAAACAUAGCAAAGCUGUAUAUUCGAGGAUCAUGUGACAAAGUUUAACACAUUCGCGUGAUCAAAACUCAACUUUGCAGCAUUCAACCCUACCCACAACUUUUUCUUGGACCGUUGUUUGGUAUGUGAGAUAAAGAAUAAUUUUGAAAUAAAUUAAUUAUAUUUCAUAUUUAAUUUGAGUUAUUAGGAAAUUCGGAGAUUUUUUUGUAUCACACUAUUUGUAUUGAAAUAGUGGUAUUACUAUCCCAUAUAGAAGGUGAGAUAAAAUAAUCUCAUGAAUAUUCUUGCUUAUCUCAUCCCGCAGACCAACUAGAGUUCUACGUUAGGACUUGGAGACAUAUGUGAAACUAUGAUGUUAGGGGUGUCAAAUUAGCAAGUUAGGUUGAAUUUGGACGGAUCAAAAUGGUCGAGUAAUGUUGCACCAACCAAAGAUAUAGGUUAGAAUCCUUCAAAAAUGAUAUUGCACUCAUAUCUUAUCCUCCAAGAAUAAUAGCUAUUUUUGGAAGAUUCGACACACAAUCUGUAGUAUUUUUGAGGAGUCGGAGAAAUUUCUUGCUAUUUUCAAUCAAUUGAAAGUUUGUUUCAUUUUCAAGUUCUUGUUUCUUUCUUCACUUCAAAGUUCAAACAUGAUCUCUUUUCUCUAACUUAAGAAAGCUUAUGUAUACAAGAACACAGUCACUAGGAAGAGUCACGAGUAUGGCUCAGUGAUCAAUGAGAGAAUCACUAAGUCUCCGAUUCAAAGUUCAAAAUUUGGCGGAGGCAAGAUAUUAGUAGGUGAUUUUUUCCCAUCUAUUCAAGUUUCGGUGGACAAAAUUAAUAACAAGGGGACUUGCUGGACAUCAAUACCACGAGCAAGGAGAUCGGUUAUUAUUGUACUACAUACUUUUCUAUUACUAAAUUUUAUUAAUAUUCAAUUCAACCUAAUAAAUAUAUGCACAUAAUUAUUAUUGUACUACAUACUUUUCUAUUACUAAAUUUUAACUUAUUAUUUAAUUAUAUUUUAAUAUAAAAGUCAUAAAUUAUCCUCACUCUCACCCCUCCGCCCUCUCAAAUAGAGGCGAACAUAAAGUACUAGUACCAGAUUCAUCCGAAUCUAGUAUUUUUACACACAUAUAUAUUUUUGCAUAAAAAUUCAUGACGAAUACAAUAACCACCAAAUAUGAGUUUAUAACUUUAAAAACAUCUUAAUUCAACAUAAAAAAUCUUUAAAAUAAAUUUAUAAAAUUUAAAUUCUAAAAUUUAUAAGUACUUGGAACCAAAUGAAGGAAAAACUAAGAAGAGAGACUUUGACGCUUGCUUUCCCUAUACUUCACAAAUUUUCAUACUCCUUUUGUAUUAACCAAGUUACUCUACUUUAUUUGUUUUAUUUAUUCUUUCCUUAUCAAUUUGUUUAAAAAAAGUUGGCAUUUUUCUAUAUUUAAGAGUUAUUUUAUUUUAUUAUUUAUAAUUUAUUUAAUCAUUUGUUGUUUGGUAAUUAAUGGCUCGAUUGAUAAUUGGUUUUAACUAUCAUAUUUGAUAUUUGACUUGAUUAAUGUGUUACAUAAAUAUUGAAGUAUGUACGAAAAAAAUCUUCUCUAUUUUUAUUUUAUUUUAGGAUAUUAAAACUAAAAAUUUAUAAUUGAAAGCGAAAAGAUUAUAUUUAUUUCAUCAAAUCCUAAGGUGUUAGACAAACACUUUUUUCUUUGUUAGAUUGGAUGGGAGUAGUUGAUCGAUCGAACUACGAUGAUUGGAAUGAAGACAGACAGACUUCCGUGCGAAAGACAGAACGACAAAAAUUCUUCAAUCAUGGUGUUGGCAUCAAUUUAUGUGCACAACAACUAGUUUUAUAAGAUAUUUGCUAUAACUUAUCAAUAUACACGGAUAUUUUUGCCUACAAACAACAUAUUUAGUAUAAUUUUACAUAAUGAGAUCGAUAAAGAUAGAAAGUACAUAAAUUUUACUCACAUUUCAUUUCGAUAGAACGUAACACAUAUCAAGUAACAUACCCAAGUACAUAUAACAAGUACUAGAAAAGGCAUUACAUAACAAAGUAAUGUAGUAUUUAAAACAUAAACAGAUGCAAUAUAAUAUAAAUCACAACUCACAAAACUAAUAAUAAUAUUGAUACUAAGAAAAAAUAGGUACAAAACGUCAAACUACCCUGAACCCUAAUUGUAGGAAAGUAAGACAACAAUUAAUUAUCUACUAAAUCUUUUAUUGAGAUGAACUAAUUCGUAUGUUACUCAACUCUCUAAAUAUUUCAGAACUUAUAUAACAUGUAUUUUUUUAAAAUUCGAAUAGCAUGAACGAAUUUUAGAAGUUCAUCGAUAUAAGUCAAUCAUAAAAGAUAGAAUACAACACAUAUCAAGUAACAUAUAUAAGUACAGUUAACAAGUACUAGAGAACACAUUAUAUAACAAAAUAAUACAUUUAUCAAAACACAAUGGAAAGUAACAUAAAUCACAGCUCACAAAACUUCUAAUACUAUUGGUACAAAGGCGAAACAUGUAUCGAACGUUAAACUACCACUAAGUCUAAAUCGUAAAAAAAUAAGAUAACACUUAACUAUCUACUAAAUCUUCUAUUGAGAUCGAUUAGUUCCUAUGUUGUUCAAACUUUACAAAAUACUCUGACAUCUAUAUGACACGUAUUUUCGAUAGCAUUUUUGAAAAAUUCGAAAAGUAUAAUGUAGGGGUGUACAUGAUCGGGUUGGUUCGGGUUUUUCAAAUAUCAAACCAAAUCAUUUGUGUCGGAUUUUUAAAUUUAUAAACCAAACCAAACCAAUAAAACUCAAGUUUUUCAACCUCGGGUUUUUUCGGAUUUUUUUCAAGUUUUUUGGAUUUUCGGGUUGUUUCGGGUUUUUCCGGUAAAGUAUUCAUACAAACAUAUAAUUUACUUGUACUUCAAAUAUUUCUUUAGUCCUACCAAAAUACAACUAUCUAAGGUGUUUCUUAAAAAAUAACACAAAAUAUGAUAUGAUUAAUGACACUAAAAUAUCCAACAAAAAAAUAAAUGAAAUCGCGUAAAAACAAAUAUUGCAAAUUAACAAGUCAUAAUGAAAAUGAUCAUAAUUUAAAAGUACUAAAUCAUGUUAAAAAUAAGUUUAAUAAAGUAUUAGUUACAUGACUAAAUAUUAAAGGAAAUUAAAAUUAGAUUAUGUAUUUUAAUUGUCUAAACCAAUGUAAACCUAAAGAACAAAUAUUCAAUAUUAUUGUCAUUCUUAGUGUUGAUUUGAUUUUCUUUUUGUAUUAGUAUUAAUUUGAUUUUGAUUUAAGCUUUAUUAUAAUUAUCAUGUUGACUAUAAUAUUUAUUGAACCAUUCAGAAUUAUAAGUUCCAAACUUGAAAUAAUAUAUUAAAAAAUAAAAACCUGAGGAUUCGAUUUUCGGUUCGUUUGUACACCCUUAGUAUAAUGAAUUCGCCGAAUCCACCGACAUUAGUCAAACACCUUAGUGAAACGACAGAAAUAUAAAUUCUAUUUUUCUUCUGCCAAAUCUAAGCUCAUUUUUUCUCUCCAAAAAUGGCUGACAGAGUUCACCCUUCAGCUAAGCCAAAUGGCAAUGCCACCAAUAUUGCCGCUGCCGCUGCCGUCAAUCCCAAAGCCGCCGCAAAACCGCCGCAAUUUCCUCCUCCGGCGGCGAAGAACCAAAUGUAUAACCCGAAUCGCAUCCCUUACCGACCAACUCCAACUGCCUACCACCGACACAACCGCCGCCGUUGCACCUGUCGCCGGUGCUUCUGCUUCUGUUGUUUCUGGUCACUCCUCCUCAUCUGCACCGUCCUACUCCUCGCCGCAAUCGCCGGCGCCGGUUUCUACUUCCUAUUCCGCCCAAAACCUCCGGCAUUCUCCGUCUCCUCACUCAAAAUCAUCCAAUUCAAACUCACUACUACCUCCGACGACACUACACACCUCACUGUUAAGCUCAAUCUCACACUCUCCACUAAAAACCCUAACAAAAAGCUGAUUUACAACUACGAUCCUAUUUCCUUAACUGUGAACUCGAAUUCAGUUCUACUAGCUAAUGGAUCGUUCACAGGUUUCAGCAGCGGUCCAAAUAACAUCACGAUCAUUCACUCAACUCUAUCAAUGGCGUCUCAAGUGCUCGAUGCGGAUUCAAUUUCAUCGUUGAAAUCAGAUCUGAAGAGAAAAAAUGGAUUACCGAUGAAGAUCUUGUUGGAUACAAUGGUGUUAGCGAAAAUGGAUAAACUGAAAAGUAAGGAAGUCGGGAUCAGAGUUACUUGUGACGGAAUCCAUGGAAGAAUUCCGACGGGGAAAACUCCGGCGGUGGCUUCAACUACAAAUGCUAAAUGUAAGGCUGAUUUACGCAUGAAGAUCUUAAAAUGGACCUUCUAAUUCAUUUUUUUGGGUGAGUGAAGGGUGAAAAACGCACCUAAAUUAUCUCGGUGAAUUAUUUAUUGGGUGUGGAAGUUUUUUUUUAUCUGAAGUAUCAUCAAAUAUUUAUCGAAUCACACGUUAAUCAUAAUGCAUUCACUUUUUUCUAUCUUAACACCGUAAUAAUUCAGGUAGAAAAUGUGAAUAGUUAUAGUUGAUGUAUGUUUUGAUAAAUAAUUGGUAAUAAUUCAGGUAGAAAAAGUAACCACGUGAUAAUUUGAUAGAAAAUUCAAAAAAUUGAGAUAGUUAAAUGUUGUUUUUGAUUCUUAACUCUUUUUUAGUUGUUUUUAUUUUUAUUUAUCAAUUAUUUGCUUGAUUUUUGCAAUUUAUUCAUAAUAUUAUACUAUUAUGUAGUAGAUAUAAGGCAAAUGGAGGGAGAAAAUGGUGUUAUGUAGAUUUUUUUGGGUGAAAUAUAGAGAGUUUGAUAUAAUUUUAAUGUACCAAAAAGCAAACAAAAAAAAAAGAGUUUGAUAUAUUCUUAAUAAUUCUUCUUUGAUGUGACUUAAUAAUUAUAUUUAUGUAAAUUUGUAUUAUGUUUCCCAAGUAUUGAUUUUAUUCUUGUUAUUUUUUUUUUGUAUUCUUAGACUUUUAUUAUUGUUUCUUUAGCCUCGGUUAUUCGUAUUGUCUUGUUGUUAUUUCAACUUGAAGAGUUAGAAAUUUAAAUCAAUCAAAUAAUAACAACAACAACAACAUAUCAGUAGGGGUGUUCAUGGUUUGGAUAAAAACUGAUCCAAACCGAAAAACCAAACCAAACCGAUUAAAUGAACCGAUUUAAUUUGGGUUUUGGUUUGGUUUGGUUUUAGAUUGUUAAGAACCGAUAGUAUUUGGUUUGGUUAUGGUUUUGUUCGAAAAAAAUCGAAGAAAUAACCGAACCGAACCAACAAGUUAUAUACAUAAAUUUUAUUAUUAUGCAUACAUAAUAUAUUAUAUUCAUAAACAAUUUUAAAGAUUUUAUAUAUGUUUCAUCAAAAUUUAUUUUUAUAAUUUACUUAUGAAAGAAAAAAUAUCAAGGUGAGAACAUUUUUCUUAUUGGUUUCAUGUAUAUAAGUGUCUAUGAAAAUUCUUUGAGGAACUAAAAAUGUCAUUGUCUCUUCCUUCUAUGCCAAAAUAGUGAAUUUUGAAGUUUUGUUCAGUAAAUUCAAUGAUCGAAAGUUCUGUAAUGCCAGUCAUUCUAACUAUAUUUUUGUUUGAAUGGAUUGUUGUCACUUUUUUCACGUUUUGAAUGAAUUGUUUAUUUUAUUUUUAUGUAUGGUUAAUAACCGAAUAACCAAACCAAACCAAACCAAAACCGAAAACAACCAAACCGAUAAACGUAUAUUAUAUUUGGUUUGGUUUGGUUUUGGUUUUGACCAAUAACCGACCCAAACCAAACCGUGAACACCCCUACUUGUUGGUAUUGCAUUCUUUAAAUCGAGAGUCUAUCUCAAAAAUCUUUAUCUUCUUAAGAUAAACGUAAGAUUAACAUACACUCUAACAUUUCCAAACUCUAAUUAUGGGAUACAUUAGAUUUGUUGAUGAUAUAGUACAAUUAUAUAUAAUUAUCUUAUUAUAAUAAGAUACUUUAUUAUCAAUCUGACAAUAAUAAUUCGCAAGUACUAAAGAAAAUUACUCUCUAGAUAAUUUCAUUGUAGAUCUCAAUCAAGUCUUAAUUAUUUCCUAAUUUACACAUAGUUUUGUAUUUAAUAGGCAAAUUCAAAAUUUAAAAUUUCUGCCACAAAAGCCCCAACCAAUUUAUGUUAUCGAGUUUAUAUAGUUUAUUAUAUGUAUGUAUUUAGUGAAUUUUUUUAACACAUAUAUAAUUGAGUUAUGUUGAAUUCAUACAUUGUAUAUUUGCAUUUACAUGCAUCACUCAAAAACAUUAUAAUAGCAUUGGAGCAAGUUUGAAUGGAGUGGAGUCAAUUAUGAGAAAUUCAUAUCAUCAACUCAAACACAACAUUGAGUAUAGGCAUUGUUAAGAGUUGUUGCAUAGAUGAGAUUUCUCCAUUUUUAUUCAGAGACUUACCUUCUUUACAAGAGAAGGGUCUACCCAAACACAACAUAAGUUGUUGCAUGGACAUUUUUAUUUAGAAACGUAUUACCUUCUUUAAAAGGGAGGGUCUACCCAACAUGAAUCUUGAUUGGUUAGACAAGUUUUACCUUCUCGAUUAGGGGACCUUACAUUCAUGAAUCUUAAUUGGUUGAUCUUAGUUAAAGGACCUACCCAACAUGAAUCCUUGUUGGUUGGGCAAAUCUUGAAGGACCUACACGACAUGAAUUCUAAUUGAUUGAUUAGGCAAGAAACAACAAUUUGAAGAAGUUUUUACCUUUCAUAUUAUAGGAUCUACCUAGUAUGAAUCCUAAUUAGUUGAGCAAGUUUUACUUUCUAUAUUAGAGGAUCUACAUGAUCAAAAGAAUAUCAUGUAGACUUUUUAGAGGGAGAAUCACUCGACACGGAACCUCCCAUGUGAGGUCGGGUAAUGGUCAACAAUUCAAGCAAGAAAUGUUGAAAAACAACUAACAAGUCGUAACAAAAAAAUGGGUAUGUUCAAAUUUUUGGACCCUACAUGAAGCAAGGAUUUCAAACCUUUCCAAAAGUGUAGGUAUGUGCAAGUUUCAUACGACUAGAUGGAGUGACACAAGAUCUACCUCUUGACUUAAGUAUAGAUAUUAAUUCAUCCACACAACAAUUUGCUUCUCGUAUUUCUCAAUUAGAGAGCCUACUCGGCAUGAAUCAUGAUUGGUUGGCCAAAUCUUGGAGGACCUACCCUACAUGAAUCUUGAUUGAUUGGGCAAGAAAUAGUGGGGAAUAAAUAUAGCACCAACAUUAGAAAAUAGAACUAAAAGCCUAACGUCCAUAGAAAAAUAGUUCAAAUAAACAAAAUUCAAACAACCAAAUCCAAAGUUAUUUGGACACUUCCAAAAACAAAAUAACAAAAACCAGACAAAAUUUGCAGUUGUUCACUCUGAAUAAAUAUAUUAGACUACUUCCAGUAGGGAAGGAACAAUUCCCCUCACAGAGCCAAAAUCACCUCAAAGGAGAUCAGCAACAUUGGCUGGGAGCUCCUCAACUACAACGUUGUAAAACUUUUGAAUGUCAAAAAGCAUCCUUUCGUCAUCCUUGGUAACAAAGUUGAUAGCAACACCCUUCCUUCCAAAUCGUCCACUACGACCAAUACGAUGCAGGUAGUUUUCUGGUUGAGUAGGCAGGUCGUAGUUAAUAACAAGGGAGACUUGUUGGACAUCAAUACCACGAGCAAGGAGAUCGGUUGUGAUAAGCACACGAGAUGAGCCAGAUCGGAACUCCCUCAUAAUGAUAUCUCUAGUGUUCUGAUCCAUGUCUCCGUGAGUUGCAGAUACUGUGUGAUCACGGCCACGCAUUUUAUCAGUGAGCCAAUCAACCUUUCGCCUGGUGUUAACAAAGAUGACACUCUGGGUGAUGGCCAAGGUCUCGUAAAGAUCACAGAGUGUUUCGAGCUUCCACUCUUCCUUAUCGACGUUGACAUAGAAUUGCUUAAUACCUUCAAGAGUGAGCUCAUCACGCUUCACAAGAAUUCUCACAGGCUUGUUCAUGAACUUUCUAGUAAUCUCAAGAGCCUCUGGCGGCAUAGUGGCAGAGAAAACACCCACUUGGAUUUUUGGUGGCAAAAGCUGGAAUAUAUCAUAAAUCUGGAAAAUGGAAAUUGUGUCAACGGAACAGGCUAAAUCAUAAAAACAAAGAAGGGAAAGACCAGCAGUUGCUAAAGGAUGUUAGAAAACAUCAAGGCUGCGAUUGGGGGGUAUUCACCAACAAGCGGAUCACUAACCAGCAUAUAUUUUCAAGCCAAUUGAACGUUAUAAAAGAAAGAGUAAGACCUACACAUUUGAAAUCAAUGCAGACUUGGCCACAAGAAUGAAUCUUGGGCCUCUAAGACCAGACAUAUCCUCAAAAUGAGUGGAUCGUUGAUAUGCAGAGGAUUUCAUAUGUGCACUCAUUUAUGAUUUGACAAGAUUAAACAUGUUCACAUUUGACAGAGAAUAUAAAUAGCACAAAAUAAAAGACCACUUCAAACAAGUUGCCAGAGAUAAUUUUCUCAUGUCUUACGCAAACCUUGAAGUGUCCUGGACAAUAGGCACCUGACUACGAUGAUUGAAAUGUGGCAGAAGGGAAACAAGUAGAUCUAAAAUUUCAUGGAAGAUAAAUUAUCCCAGAAGACUUAAUGAUAAUAAAACACAAUGAAAGCAGAAGACUCAUACAGCAAUAUCUAUCAACUAGCUGAGAGUCAAAAUUAGUUGUUUUAUUAACAGCCGAUCUAGUGUUUGGGACUAGUUAAAGAUGAGAUAUGAGACUUAAGACCUUUAAUUCUAGAGAGUCCAUAUAACUGAGAAGAAGUUGAUUGUUUCUCAUAUUACUAACAAAUCAGCCAUCACUUUAUUAGUUCGCCAACAACUCAUAAGUAAACACAUUUAAAAAGUAAUCCAGUUUACUAUAUCAAAAAAGGGAAGGUUAAUUAUAUUUCAGAAGUGAUGAAAAGUGAGGCAAUAAUCCACUUCUAAUGUGUUAACCUUCGAACACAGAAACAUAACAGAGUAAAACAAAUAAAAAGGCACAUCCUGCAUUGAACAAAUAAAACAGCAAAAAUUUAAGUAAAAGGGAGACCUGAUCCUUGAAACCUCUGGAGAGCAUUUCAUCAGCUUCAUCCAAAACAAACAUCUUGAUGUGGUCGGGGCGAAGAGACUGUCUGCGCAACAUGUCAAAGACACGGCCUGGAGUACCAACCACUACAUGAACACCACUCUGAAGGAUACGCUGAUCUUCACGGACACUGGUACCCCCAACACACGCAUGAACCUUCACGCCCAGAUAGUCACCGAGUGCACGCAUAACCUUCUCAAUCUGUUGUGCCAGCUCACGGGUUGGUGCAAGAACAAGAGCCUGACAUUCAACUAAACUAUAAUCAAGUUGCUGGAGAACUCCAGAGCAGAAAGUUGCUGUCUUUCCAGUUCCAGAUUGUGCCUGCUGGAUAACAUCAAGGCCCUUGCAAAAGGGAACGAUGCCCCUUUGCUGAAUAGCUGAUGGCUUCUCAAAACCUUCAAGAAAUUCAAAACACUGUUCAGUGCCUGUAAAAUCUGAGAACGGAGGAAAGGAAACCAGAAUUAUAAGGAGAUGUCAAUUUACCAUAGGCAUAGAUGCCUCUCAGAAGGUUUUCUUGCAAACCCAUGGCAUCAAAACUGUCAUAAACCUCAUCAUAUGAUGUGAAAAAUUCUUGUUGUUCAGUACCAAGUCUGUUUUUGGCAUAUCAAACAACCACAAAAGUCAAUCAAAUCAAUGGCAAAGGCUAGAGGCAAAAUAUCAGCAGAAAGUGAUGAUCAAUAACCUCAGUACAGGAGGGAGAAGAGAUAACUUACAGCUCCGUCAUUUUCGCAUCGAAUUGACGAGCAUCAAACUGAGAACCUUCUGGUGCUGAGCCUGCCAUACUGCAGGAAUUUAACAAAAAAACAGAUAAAUCAAUUAAUUAUGCCUCAAUCUCAAACUAGUUCUGGUAUACUGGUGUAAGCAAAUUUUAGUUUUCUUUUAAGAUUACUUUUUUCAAUUAGUGAAUAACAGAUCUUAUCAGAAGAUUUUGUAGAUGAUAAAAAGUGAAGAUUGAAGCUUAACUCCGUGACAUAUAAAAAAGUUUAUUCACCAAGUACCAAUAACUACUUAUCAAAACUAGAAUUCUCAAAUAAAAAAUAACAAAUCUUAUCAGUCACAUGGACAUUCAUUAAACAUCAUGAAGAAGACAACAAGGGAAGGUCAAAACAUAACUCCAUGGCAUAUAAGAUAAUAACAAAAGGUAGUUUAAGGCCCAAAACACUUCACAAAUAAAAUUUAUUCACCACAUAUCAAUAACAUUAUCUGUUCUUCCUUUAUUCAUGAGGGCAUGCACAAGAAACAAUAUACAUCAUUUCUCCUUUUUCUUUUUCUUUCCUGAAGAAGUAAAAGGAGCAGAAAGCAGAUAGAAAUAACUGUUUGACUACUUGCCAUACAGCUCAACCCUAUUUCUAUAGCUACUUGACACAGGGUCAAUGUGACAAAGAACGAGAAUGAGCAAGUGUUGGAGGAGAUGCUAAAACAGACAUACAAAUCAAAACCAACUGAAAAUAGUGAAGAGCAAGCACGUGAACCCCACAAAACCCAACUGUCUGAAAAAAUCACUACUUGUCGCCGAUGAAUCAUCAAAAACUCAAACACCAUCUAAACUAAAACAAACAUAUACAGAUCAGAUACAAUCCAAAUUAUAGAAGAGCAAAAAAAGCUCGAACUCCACAAUACCAAAUUGUCUGAAAAAUCACUACUUUAUGCCGAUGAAACAUCCAAAACUCAAAACACCAUCUUUCUGAUGGUGAAGGAAGAAAUUAUGAAAACACAUAAAAAUCAAAACCAACCCAAAUUAAUCAAGACCAAGAAUGUUGAACUACACAAAACCCAACUGCAGAAAAUCACUACUUUAAACUCAAAGACCAUAUUUAAACAACAUAUACAAAUCAAAACCAACCCAAAUUAGUGAAGAGCAAGAACGUUGAACCUCACAAAACCAAACUGUUUGAAUUUUUUUUUUACUUUACACCAAUAAAACAUCCAAAACUCAAACACCAUCUAAACUAAACAAACAUAUAGAAAUCAAAACCAACCCAAAUUAGUGAAGAGCCCACAAAACCCAACUGUAGAAAAAUCACUACUUUACGGCGAUGAAACAUCAAAAACUCAAACACCAUCUAAUCUAAAACAAACAUAAAUCAAAACCAACCCAAAUUAGCGAAGAGCAAGACCAUCGAACCCCACAAACUAUCUUUAAAAAAAAACUACUUUAUACCAAUGAAUCAUCAAAACCUCAAACACAAACAGAUACAAAUCAAAACCAACCCAAAUUAGUUAAAGAGCAAGAAUGUCAAACCCCACAAUACCAAACAGUCUGAAAAAAUUCACAACUUCACAUCAAUGAAUCAUCAAAACCUCAAACACCAUCUAAACUAAAACAAACACAAACAGAUACAAAUAAAAACCAACCCAAAUUAGUUAAGAGCAAGAACAUCAAACCCACAAUACCCAACUGCCUGAAAAAUCAUUACUUUAUGAAUCAUCAAAAACUCAAACACCAUCUUAACUAAAACAAACAUACACAAAUCAAACCCAACCCAAAUUAGUAAAAACCAACAACAUCCAACCCCACAAAACUCAACCGUAAAAAAAUCACAACUUUACACCAAUGAAUCAUCAAAAACUCAAACACCAUCUAAACUAAAACAAACAUAUACAUAUCAAAACCAACCCAAAUUAGUGAAGACCAAGAACAUCAAACCCCACAAUACCAAAUUGUCUGAAAAAAUCACUGCUUUACGCCAAUCAAAACAUCAAACUCAAGCACCAUACAAAUCAAAACCAAACCAAAUAAGUAAAAACUAAGAACAUCCAACCCCACAAAACCCAACAGCAUAAAAAUCACAGCUUUACUUUAUAAAUCAUCAAAACUCAAACACCAUCUAAACUAAAACAAACAUACACAAAUCAAAACCAACCCAAAUUAGUAACAACCAAGAACAUCCAACCCCACAAAACCCAACUGCAAAAAGAUCACAACUUUACCUAUGAAUCAUCAAAAACUCAAACACCCAUUUAAACUAAACCAAACAGAUACAAGAAUCCAGCAAAAUACACAAAAAACCAAAAAAAGUUCAGCAGAAAGAAGAGAGUUACCUUAUAGCUAAUAAGAAGAUUGUUAAAGAGAGAUCUGAAGAUUUGAGAAAAAGGGGAUUUUUGAGAAUUAGGGUUUGUAAAGACUGCAGCUUUUUUCCAAAAACUCCUCGGAUCUACGCCGCGGAGUUCAGGAAGACAAUAUGUGUGAGAGAGUUUUUAUGAUUGUGUUAUGUUUUGUCUUUUUAUGUUUCCAAAUCCUUAUGUAAAUUGAGUUGGAAAAAAAAAAGGAAAAAGUUUCAAAAAAAUUCCCUUAACCUAUUAUAAUUUGGUGGUAAGUUUAAAAUAGUUUCAUAAUUUAUUAAAUAUUUUUGGUCUUUAUUAAAUAUUUGUCAAAUUUUAAUUAUUAAAUUUAAUUAAUAUUGUGAAAGUAGAAAAUAUUAAAUGGGAACUCAUAUGGUUUCGUAAUUUAGGAGUAAUUAUUGUUAUUUUUUUACUUUUUCGUUUUUAUGUUGCAAUAUCUAAGACUUUAACGGGGAUUUUUGGUAUUUAUGGUUAAUAAAAAAAAUCAUAAUUAGGUUUUUGGUAAAUAUUUGAUGGAGGUUGAAAAAUAUACUCAUUUUUUUACAAGAGGAAAAGGAUAAAUAUAUCCCCAAAUUAUCGUAAAUGGUAUGCAGAUACCCUCUAUCAUACUUUUGAGACAUUGGUGCCCCUGCCGUUCAAAAACAAGAGCAUAUAUACCCUUUAUACUAACGGACAUACACGUGUUAUAAUCUUAUCCACCGAUCCGACAUUUAUUAAAUAUUAGAUCGACGGAUAAGAUUGUGCCACGUGUCCCUAUUUAGUCUUCCAUUAGAGUGAAUGACAUAUAUGCUCUAGUUUUUGGACGGCAGGGGCACCAAUGUCCUAAAAGUAUGACAGAGGGUAUCUGCAUAUUAUUUACGAUAGUUCAGGGAUAUAUUUGUCCUUUCACCCUUUUGACAAUUUAAAAGGACUGAAACUGCUCAAGUGAUACAUAUGGGACUAUUUUGAACUUAAUAUUAAGGAGAAUGGACUAUUUUUGUCAUUAUCUUGAAAUAUGACAUUUAUAAUUUUCACCGUCCCCUUCAUUCUACGAUGACCCCUACCGGGGAAAGCCCAUUCUCAUGUGCUCAUGGCCUAGCUGGCCUGACAAUGAUAGUAGAAAUUUUCUCAUUUUCUAAUCAGAAAUUUAAUUGAAUAUGAGACCUACUUUAUCAUGAGCGAUAUAUCUAAACUGUUAGAUUUAUAUUGGAUAUUUUUUGUAUUAGUGAUCUCUAAUCUCUCACAAAAUGAUAUGAUUUUAUUUAUUCAAAACUACUAAAGAAAAUGAACAUUGAGAACUAUUGUACGAUUUAAGUUUGUGAGUUUUAGUAACCCCUCACUUGUCACAUAAACCACAAUUAAUUAAUGAUACCUAGUUCAUAGUUUAUUAUAUGUACUUAUUUAGGUGAAAUUUCAAUACAUAUAUGAUUGAGUUAUAUCGAACUCAUACAUUGUACGUCUACCUCUACAUAUAUCACUCCCAAGUACAAUAAUAGUAUUGGAAUAAGUAUGAAUAGAGUGGAUUUAUAUUAUCGCCCCCAACUAAUUGAAAUUUGAAACUUAUAUUAAUUGACAUAUUCUGACAUAUAAUAGCUCAAUAUGAACAAUUGAGAAGGUCAUAUAGAUGGUCAUGCCAUCAUACAAACCACAAUAAAAUACUGUUAAGUGCAACAGUAAAAUGGAUGAGAUUUUUCAAUUUUGUGCUCGUAGAUAUGUUACCUUCUUUAUAAGAGGGUUUAUCUGACAUGAAUCCUCCUUCCGCCGUUAGUUUAGCUGCAACGGCCGCAGACGCAGGAAGCAGUUCCUCUAUGGCAAAUUAGAAACGUCGAAGUAGGAUGUGUUUUAUUAAUAGGAAGAUAAGGCGUUAGCGGACCGACUUGGCAUGAAUCCUGAUUGAUUGGACAAAUUUUAGCUUCUCAAUUAGAUGACCUACCCAACAUGAAUCUUAAUUGAUUGAUUUCAAUUAGAGGAUCUAUCCAACAAGAAUCCUUGUUGGUUAGGCAAAUAUUAGAGGACCUACUCAAUCUGAAUCUUUAUUGAUUGGGUAAGAAACAAUAGUUGUUAGAUGAUUUACCUUCUAUGUUAAAGAAUGUAACCACAAAGUCUGGAGUUCAAAUAUGAAAUAUAGCAUCAAAAUGGGAAAAACAGAUAUCCAACUAAAAGCUUUACCUUCCAUAGGGAAAUAGAUAAAUUAAACAAUUCAAACAAUACCAAAUCCAAAGUUAUUUGGAUGCUUUAAGAUAUAAAAUGACAAACCAAACAAAAUUUGCAAAAGUUGACUCUAGAAGUUUCAUUUGAAUCAGGAAAGUAACUGGUGCUGUGGCAAAACCAUGGUACCAGCAUUUCCUAAUUCCAAGUCUAGUACAAACUGAAACUAAAUCUAAGAAAAAAUAUACCAAAAUCGCCUUAAAGGAGAUCAGCAACAUUGGCUGGGAGCUCCUCAACUACGACGUUGUAAAACUUCUGUAUGUCAAAAAGCAUCCUUUCGUCAUCCUUGGUGACAAAGUUGAUAGCAACACCCUUCCUUCCAAAUCGUCCACUACGACCAAUACGAUGCAGGUAGUUUUCUGGUUGAGUUGGCAGGUCAUAGUUAAUAACAAGAGAGACUUGUUGGACAUCAAUACCACGAGCAAGGAGAUCGGUUGUGAUAAGCACACGAGAUGAGCCAGAUCGGAACUCCCUCAUAAUGAUAUCUCUUGUGUUCUGAUCCAUGUCUCCGUGAGUUGCAGAUACUGUGUGAUCACGACCACGCAUUUUAUCAGUGAGCCAGUCAACCUUUCGCCUAGUGUUAACAAAGAUGACACUCUGGGUGAUGGCCAAGGUCUCGUAAAGAUCACAAAGUGUUUCAAGCUUCCACUCUUCCUUAUCGACAUUGACAUAAAAUUGCUUAAUACCUUCAAGAGUGAGCUCAUCACGCUUCACGAGAAUUCUCACAGGUUUGUUCAUGAAUUUUCUAGUAAUCUCAAGAGCCUCUGGUGGCAUAGUGGCAGAGAAAACACCCACUUGGAUUUUUGGUGGCAAAAGCUGGAAUAUAUCAUAAAUCUGGAAAAUAAUAAUUGUGUCAUGGGACAAGCUAAAUCAUCAAAACAAAGGAGGAAAAGACCACCAAUAUGUGGCAGCAAUUGUUGAAGGAGGUUAGAGCACAUCAAAGCUACAAUCUGGGGGGGGUCACCAACAAGCUGAUCAAUAACCGGCAUAUAUUGUCAAGCAAAUUGAAAAUUAUAAAAGAAAGAGAGACCUACACAUCUUGAAAUCAAUGCACUUGACCAUGAGGGUGAAUGUUGGGACCAAACAUAUCCACAAAAUAAGAGUCGUGUAUAUGCAAAGGAUUACGGAUGUGCACUCAUAUGUGAUUUGACAAUAUUCGACAUGAUCACAUUCGACAGAGAAUAUAAAUAUUACACAUAUAAGAUAACAUCAAAAAAGGGCUUAUCUGACUUUCAAAUGAUCUUGAUCUAUAAGCACAGGACUAUGAUGAUUGAACAGUAGCAACGAAAAAGGUAAACCUCAAAUAUCAUGGAAGACUAAAUAUCACAGAAGACUUGCGAUCUCUAGAAACAAAUGCAAACUUCAGUAAGAAUAAAUAACAACGAAAGCAAUUGAUCCAUAUAGCAAUACCAGCUACUUGAGAGUCAACACUUAAUUGUUGCUGCCCUUGCAUUUGAUCUAGUAGUGUUGGAGAUCUUUGUACUAGUUAGACAUAAGCUGUGAGACUUGAGGUACUUUGAAGUUUAGAGAACCUCUUAACUUGUUUUAGAUUUCAGAUUAUUUAGCUUAGGCCUGAAAAGGGUCGGAUUUCAAGCUUGAUAAAGAUAAUCAUCCAUAGACCUGAACUCUAGUUUAGGACUGAGGAAUUGUUGAUUGAUAAUUUGAGGGAGAAAUAUAUUAUUAACAAAUUAGCCCUAGCUUUAUUAGUUUACUAUCAACUACAUAAACACAUUUAAAAUUGAAUUCUGCUUCACUUGGUCAAAAAAAGAAAAGGUUAAUUCUUUUAUUUUGUUGAUAAAACGAUGUAAAAAUCUCUACUUCUAGAUUGUUAAUCAACCUUCGAACACAGAAACAUCAUUUAGUAACAGAAAAUGGAGGCAAAUCCUGCUCUGAACUAAGAAAUAAAACUGCAAAAAUUUAAGUAAAAGGGCAACCUGAUCCUUGAAACCUCUAGAGAGCAUCUCGUCAGCUUCAUCCAAAACAAACAUCUUGAUGUGGUCGGGGCGAAGAGACUGCCUGCGCAACAUGUCAAAGACACGGCCUGGAGUACCAACCACAACAUGAACACCGCUCUGAAGGAUGCGCUGAUCCUCACGUACACUCGUACCCCCAACACAAGCAUGAACCUUCACACCCAGGUAGUCACCAAGUGCUCUCAUAACCUUCUCAAUCUGUUGUGCAAGCUCGCGGGUUGGUGCAAGAACCAGAGCCUGACACUCAACUAAACUGUAAUCAAGCUGCUGGAGAAUUCCAGAGCAGAAAGUUGCCGUCUUUCCAGUACCAGAUUGUGCCUGCUGGAUAACAUCAAGGCCCUUGCAAAAAGGAACAAUGCCCCUUUGCUGAAUAGCAGAUGGCUUCUCAAAACCUUAAAGGAAUUCAAAACACUGUUCAGUGCUCUGUAAAAUCUGGGAAUGGAGGAAAGGAACAAGAAUUAGGAGGAGAUGUCAAUUUACCAUACGCAUAGAUUCCCCUCAGGAGAUUUUCUUGCAAACCCAUGGCAUCAAAACUGUCGUGAACCUCAUCAUAUGAUGUGAAGAAUUCCUGUUGUUCAGUACCAAGCCUGUUUUUGGCAUAUCAAACAAGCACAAAAGUCAAUCAAAUCAAUGGCUAAGGCUAGACGUCAAAUAUCAGCAGAAAGUGAUAAUCAAUAAAUUGGAAAAAGAGAGAGGGAGAGAGAGACAAGGAUGCUUUCCAGCCAGAUUAACAUGACCACAAUAUAUGAUGGAAAGAGAUAACUUACAGCUCUGUCAUUUUCGCAUCGAAUUGACGAGCAUCAAACUGAGAACCUUCUGCUGCCAUGACUGCAGGAAAUUUUAAAUAAUUAAUUAAUUAACUGCACCUCAAUCUCAAAAUAGUUUUGGGAUUCUGAUAUAAGCAAAAAAAUUAAAAUUUAUUUGAAACUAAUAUUUUCUAUAAACAAAUAAUAAAUCUUAUCAGUCAUAUGGCAAUUCAUUGAACAUUUUGUAGAUGAUAAAAAGUGAAGGUUGAAGCUUAACUCGAUGACAUAUAAAUAAUAGGUAAGUUACUUUAAGACCCAAAACACUUCAACAAAGUCACAAAUAAAUUUUGUUUCAUCGAGUAUAAAUGACAUUAUCCAUUCUUUCUUCAAUCAUUAUAGAGGUCAUAAACAAGAAUCAAGAUGCAUCCUCUCUCUCAAAACAACGGUAAGAAUGUCAACAGCACAGGGCGCAUUGAGUAAUUAUAGCCUCCUCGCCUGCCUCCCAACUUAUCACCCCCUCUAAUCUUUGGAAAGCUAACCCCUUUAGCACAUCACUCAGACACAUUACUCAGGGAGCUGAGAUAGUGGAAAAUAUAAAUCAAAACAAUGGGAAGAAUGUCCAUAACACAGGGCACAUCGAGGAAUUAUAGUCUCCUUGCCUGCCUCCCAACUUAUCGCCCCCUCUAAUCUUUGCAAAGCUAACUCCUUUAGCACACCACUCAGAUACACAUUAUUCAUGGAGCUGAGAUAGUGGAAAAUAUACGUCAAAACAUCAGGAAGAAUGUCAGAACACAAGGCACAUCGAGAUAUUAUAGUCUCCUCGCCUGCCUACCUCCCAACUCACCACCCCCUCCAAUCUUUGCAGAGCUAACUCCUUUAGCACACCACUAAGACACACAUCACUCAUGGAGCUGAGAGAGUGGGAAAUAAACAUCAAAACAACAGAAAGAAUGUCAACAACACAGGCACAUCAAGAUAUUAUAGUCUCCUAGCCUGCCUACCCUCCAAUCUUUGUAAAGCUAACUCCUUUAGCACACCACUAAGACACACAUCACUCAUGGAGCUGAGAGAGUGGAAAAUAAACAUCAAAACAACAGAAAGAAUGUCAACAACACACGUCAAGAUAUUAUAGGCUCCUAGCCUACCUAACUCCCAACUCACCACCCCUCCAAUCUUUGCAAAGCUAACUCCUUAAGCACACCACUAAGACACACAUCACUCAUGGAGCUGAGAGAGCGGGAAAUAAACAUCAAAACAACAGAAACAAUGUCAAAUAACACAGGGCACAUCGAGGAAUUAUAGUCUCCUCACCUGCCUUCCUCCCAACUCACCACUACCUCCAAUCUUUGCAAAGCUAACUCCUUUAGCACACCACUAAGACACACAUCACUCAUGGAGCUGAGAGAGUGGAAAAUAAACAUCAAAACAACAAAAAGAAUGUCAACAACACAGGCACAUCAAGAUAUUAGAGUCUCCUAGCCCGCCUACCUCCCAACUCACCACUCCCUCCAAUCUUUGUAAAGCUAACUCCUUUAGCACACCACUAAGACACACAUCACUCAUGGAGCUGAGAUAGCUCCAAAUAUACAUCAAAACAACAAGAAGAAUGUCAACAACACAGUUACACAGAGCACAUCGAGGAAUUACAGUCUCCUCGUCUGCAUCCCAACUUACCACCCCCUCUAAUCUUUGCAAAGCUAACCCCUUUAGCACACCACUCAUCUACAACUGCAACAGCUUGGAGGGGGUGCUAUACGAAUCCUUGAUACACAAAGAUAAAACGAGAAUCACUAGAUCGCUCGUUUUCCAAUCAUUUAAAACAAAAAUCAAAACCAACCCACACUAGAAAACAGCAAAAUCAUCAACACCCAACUCAUUAAAACCACUACUCAACAUCAAUGAAUCAUAAAAACACAAACUUUCAAUCAAACAAAAACUUACACAUAAAAAAAUCUAUAAAAUACAAGAAAAAUCGAAUAAAAAAGGAAGUUACAAGAAUAAGAAGAGUAACCUACUUGAUAACGAUUUGAAGUUUGUUAAAGAAAGAUCUGAAAGAUUUGUGAAUUAGGGUUUUCAAAGACUGCAGCUUUUUUUUCUUCUUCCAAAAAAACUCCUCGGAUCUACGCCGCGGAGUUGAGGAACCACAAUAUCUGAAGUAGAAUGAGUUUUAUGAGUGUGGGUUUUUUUUGUUCUUUUUUAAAACUUUUGGGGGGUAAAAGAAUAUUAUAAGAAAAUUUGGGGGUGUAAGUGUAUUUUAGAAAAUUUGGACCGCUUCAAUAGGGGAAUUGUAUUCACUAACGUGGAUUCCACAAAUUGAAAUUGAAAAAGAAAAAAAAGGUUUAUCAUAAAAGAUGAAACGAUAAUGACGAUAAUAAUAUAUUCAGUAUAAUUUUUAAGUAAAAUUUUAAAAAUAUGAUAUGUUUACAAAUUUUAUGUCUAUAUUUGAAGACAAAAAAGUAAUUUUUUAAAAUAAAAUACUCAACUCAAGUUAAAUAAUUUAAAACAGACUUGAAAAGGAAGAUGAGAGGAGGGAGUGGAGAAAAAAAAAAGGAAAAAUAGACAAUGAGACUUUAAAAGUACAAAAAAUGAACAAAUUGUCAUCUUAAAAAAAUGCCAUUUAAAAAAACAAUCAAAAAUUUUAAACUCUAUCAAAUUUAACUCUGAAGGUCAUAUUUUAAUUUUUUACGUCUCAAGUUUUUAACUCGUAUUGAAGUUUGACUCAAGUAUCAUAUAAGAAAUUUCUUUUUUUUAAAAAAAAAUGUAUGAAGUUUUAGUUUAAAUAGUUUAGAUUUUAAACUUCACAAAAAUUAUUAGUCACCUAACCACAAUUAAACUAAGACCCGUUAGUCUGAUGUUUGAUUAAAUUUUAGAACUUGACUUCUAAUUUUGAUAGUUCAACCUUUAUGAGCCAAAGAUAUGAAGGAGGAAGAAGAAAACAUGCCUCAUGCAAUUUUUACUUUUUUUCCCCACACAUAUGUGGAAGUUCAUUAUUAGUGUUUUUGUACGAAUUAUUCUUAUUUUAUGGUGAUCUUUAAUUUUUUAUUUUUCUAUUCAUAGAAUACAAAAUUUGUGGGUCAAAAGAUAUGUAAUUAUGACCUAAUUUCUCACGGCCAAACUUUUUUCUUUUAGAGUGUUUGCUUUGGGAUAUAAGCUAUGUAGUAUAUGCACAUGGCAAAACUUUUAGAGACAUAAUUUGUAUGGUUGCACUUAUGCCUUGAAGCAUAAUUUGUGUCUUGUGCAUACUUUAUUUUAUCUUAGGGCAUAAUUUAUGUCGCUAAAUUUAUAUUCUGAGAUAUAACUUGUGACAUUGCACUUGUGUCUUGGAGGCAUAAAUUGUGCUUUGUACCUAAUUUGUUUUACUUUAGGGCAUAGCUUGUGUCACUGAACAUAUGUCCUAAUUUGUCAAUAAACUUAUACUUAAGGCAUAACUUUAACUGAACUUAUACGUUGCGAAUUUUUUGUCUUGCUUUUUACUAUUUGGAGCAUUUUGACUAUUUUUUAAACUAACAGUUCUAAAGGAUAAUAAUUAAAAACUAUCAAUUUUGAGAGGUAAAAGAUGAAGAUUGGGCCUAAUUCUGACUAGACAUCUGUCUAGACAAUUUUCUAUUUAGACACAAGGAUUAGAAUAGUAAAUACUAAUUCAUAUGGGUGGCUUACAACAAAAUAAUGCAACCCUUUUAUAAUUAAAUGAUUUAAUAAAGUAAAAAUAUAUAUCAUUAAAUCAUAUGAUUAGAUGUAUGUGCGUAUAUUUCAACAUAUAUUAUUAUUUAUUGGCUUGAUAAAAAUACUUGAUACUGAUAAAAAAUUAUAAUCAUAAAAUUGAAAAGCAGAGUACUCAUAGUACGAAAAAAAAGUGGACACCAUAAUUAAUUCUCUCUUUAAGGGUUGAGAAGGAUCAAAAUCUAUAAGAUGGAUAAGAAAGCUGGAAAUGGUGAGAACAUCAAAAUUUAAACGUUAUGAUCAUAACAUAACUAAUGAUAUGAAAGAGGUCCAAUUAAAUACCGUUCAUUCAAAAAAAAAAUAUUAGGUAAAUAAAAUAAUAUUUAUGCGUAAAUUAAAAUUAUUGUAUCUCCUUAACAUAAAAGAAGUUUUUAGGUAUUUUAUUUCUCUUGUUAAUUCCUGGUGAAUAGAUCAUAUAAAGAUAAUAUUAUCAUUGUUCUAAAGCUUCCCUACGAACAAGUAUAUAUAUACAGAUAUAAAAGCUUUGUAAUAUCUAAUUAGGGAGAAAGAGAACGGAAGGUGACAGAUAGAGGGUGAGCACGCAUAGCUUCAAACAUCCAUAUAUACUAUAAUGUAAGAAAAUACCAUGUGUGCUCACUCUCUUCUGUCACCUUUCUUAUUUAAUUGCCGCUUUUAACAAUCACUAAUACUUACAUUAAAAUAGACUGACUACAAUAUUAUAUAUUUUUUGAGAUGCACUUCCUCUCCAAAUCUCCAAAUCGUGCUAAUGCAAAAUACUUUGUUCAUCGAAAUCCCUUUCUGUAUUUAAGAAAGGAACAAAGAUUAUGAUUUAUGAUUUAAUUUGUGUGAGGAAUUAGUGUGUGCUCUUAUGGACUUUAUAUAGAGGAUGAAAAUAACCAGACAGUUCCAUCAUGUAAGGAAUAAAUAUGUCUAUCUUUAUGUGUAUAUACUUAAUAUUUUAUGUAUAAUAAUAUAGAUAGGGAUCAUUUAUAUGUGCACACUGAAGUCAUGAGAGUUCAAUCCAAAACUAAUUUAUAAAUAAAAAAAUAUUCUUUAUUUUUUAAUCAUUUAGUGUUUGGAAUCUGCAUUGAAACUCUGAUUAAAUUUAAAUCGUGUAUUGCAGGAUCAAUUUGGGGGUGACACUCCUAAUAAGAUUUUCUCUAUAUAUAUCCGAGACUCAAAUCUGAAACCUCUUAUUAAGGAUGGAGUAGCCUCAGCACUGCACCACAACUGAUCAGGUUGAUAACAUAUUCAAUAUUCUAUAAACUCAAUAGUAAUACUCUAUACUCUUUGCAAUGAAAUUCAUUUUUUAGGUGGAUUGAACUAGUAAAUGAAUGAAUUAUAUUAUUGAUUCAUAUUGAUCAUGUUUCAUGGACUAAUUUUAUCAUUUGAUAUAAAUGUUGGGUUUAGGUGAUCGCUUUGAGUCGCGUCCUCAAGCAUUAAUCAACCCGCUUCAUUAAUAAUUGUUAUAACUUAUAGGCGGAAUAUGUAAAAUUAAUCUGAAAGACUAGUUUAUCAAGUGAGAAAAGAGCACCUUCAACAUAUAAGAUAUAUUUCUUUCUUGAUAAUCUUUCUCAGAAAAUAACUACUCUCGAAUCUUGACAUGUAAUGUUUUUUUUCAUUCGACGUUUAAAUUUGAAUUCGGAUCGAGAACUAUCAUUUUGAUUUUUAUAUUCUUAAAGCCACGAGAAAUAUCUUUUAUGGUGCAAAAGCAGCAUAAAGUAUAUAUGCUUUUUAUUAAUUAAUAAUUAAAUACCAAUAAUGCUGGAAAAAAAAAGGAAAAAGGAACCUUUGACCAAAUGUUGAAAAAAGUGACGUGUCCACUUAAUGUGUAGUCUCAGUCUGCUAAAAUUUAACAAAUUCCCCUUAUUCUUUUUUAAAUAAAAUAUAAUUUUAAUUCCACUUUGAGGGUGCUUAGAUUUGAUGCUUAAUUAGUGUAAACUACUUGCAAUAAUCAAAUAAUUACUUUCGAGAAAAAUAUUAAGUGAUUUUUUUUCAUCUGUCCUUGUCGUAGUAGAUAGAGUUAUAUGAUAUUUGUUGUCAGUAAAAAGUGACAAAUAUCUCGUGGAAUUAGUGGAAAAGAAAGUUGACUUGAACACCAUGAUUAAUAAAAAAAACAAAGAAGAUUAUAAUUAUCCUUUGUGAUGAUUGUCACGCAUAUCAAUACACUAAUCGUGUUGAAUAUUUAAUCCAAUCAUUAAGCUCUUAAUUGGUUAAUCUAAUUUAGUUGAAUAUUGACGAAAUCAUCCACAUUUGGAUUGGAUACCACAUAACAUUAACUAAUUUUAAGUUUAUGUUUAUAUGUUUGGAUAAUAUUCACCAAAACUCUCAUUCAAGAGGUCUCGAGUUCAAGCCCCGAAUAUGAAGUCGUCUUUGAUUGAAAGUCUUCCUAUCAAACGACCCUUGUUGACUUGAUGUAAACACUAGGUGCAGUAAGUUUUUACACCCUAGUAAAUGUAGGUAGCCUUAAAGCUAAAUAUUGUACUAUUGACUCGGUAUCCGGUACUAGCUUUGGGGCUGACUACUUCGGGUUCAUGCUGAAAAGUCUCAGUUUUGAGGUAAAGCAGUCCCUACCAGAAAUGAUUUCAUAUCUAGGACUCGAACCCGAGACCUCUGGUUACCACUCCAUCACAACCUUUUCGUGGUGAUGUGUAACAUAAGAUGAUAUAACAUACAUAAGAAUUUAAUUGGAACAGAGGCAGCAUUUCAAAAGAUUGGAACAACAUUUUAUAUAUCAGAAGUUGUCCAAGAACAGGUAAAAAUGUCGAUAUGUUCAUCAUAUCAUCACUCAAUUUGCUAAUGUUUCAACAAGGGAAUACUCUUAAGUGAUCAUUUUUUCCUUAAACUUCAGUUAGAUUAACUCGUGAAAAGGGAAAAUGAACGAUACAGCUGAUGUUUACUGCACUCGAUUAAAUGUUGGUAAUGGGAAGAAGCCACAGACCUGAGUUGACAGUAGUUUAUCCAUCAUGUGUGGGAGCAAUCUUUGAGUAUGCACGGGGGGCAAAGUUUAGCUAACCGAUACCUGGCAUGCUGCUCAUUCCGAAUUCACUAAGCCUAGUAAGCUCAGGAACUACUACUGAACCAAGAUCAGGUCUGUCUUUCUUCCUCAGCUCAGCACACUUGAGUGACAAUUUUGCAAACUUAAGAGCCUCUUCCACUGGCCAAUUUGGCACUGUUGGAUCUAAAAAAUCUGCAAAUUUACCUUUCUCGAUGGCCCUUUCAACGUGAUGAGUUAAACCCAUUGGAGGCCUUGCAGUAAUAAUUUGGAGCAACAUAACACCAAGCGAGUAUAUAUCUGAUUUAGUCUCUAACCUUCCCGUUUGUUGAUAUUCAGGAUCUAUAUAACAAAAAGUCCCGGCAGCUGAAGUCAUAUGAUAUUGUGUCACACAAUCAGCUACAGAUGAUGGCACUAACCUUGCCAAACCAACAUCACUGAUUUUGCAGACAUAAUUUUUGUCCAACAGAAUAUUUCCUGGCUUUAGAUCCCGGUGAACAAGAGGUUCUGGUUUUGAUUGAUGAAGGAAUAGAAGCCCGGUUGCAAUCUCAGCAGCAAUUUUGAAGCGAAUUUCCCAUGGAAUUGAAGGGGUAUUACCUUUCCGAAAAAGACGAUCUUCCAAGCUGCCAUUAUUCAUAAGCUCAUAAACUAAGCACCCAUACUCAGGACAUGCACCUAAUAGUAGCACCAGAUUUGGAUGCCUAAUGAGACUGAGGACCUCAACCUGUAAAUGAAAAAAACAUUUUUCAUGUGCAUCAGCAGGCGGCUUGUCAAAUACUCAUACUAACACCAAUCAACAAUUUAACCAAGAAAGAGGGCUUCUAAUAAUAGUGUAGCAUAGAUGAGAGAGUACAAGCAACAACAUCUUUUAGACAUUCUAGUUAUAGCAAGUGAAAAUCUGUCCCAGUUACAUUAGUAAAUCAUCAUUUUUCAAACAAAAGUUUCAUUGGACAUCUCUGAGACGGGCUCAUCUACACAAAGCUUAUGCGCAUAAUAGAGAAGCUUUUAGAUAAAGCAUACAUACUUGAAAUAAGAAAUAACUACCAUGAUAUGCAUUAGUCAAACAUAUUCCUGUUAUCCAUUAAUCAAAAGAAAUCAUGUCAUGCACCAAACUGCAUCAGUAUAAAUGCAUUUUCCACUUUCUACAAUUUAUCAUGAUUCCCUCGAUUGCAUCGUGUGUAAUUAACUCCAGAAGUGACUCAAUGAAUGCACAAAUUCUACGGAAAAUGAAGUUGUUCAGCCCAAAUAAUGCAGAAUGUUUCAUAUCUUAAAUACAUAUUGUAAAAGAGAGGGUAUCACUGAACUAGGAAUAUAAGCGGUUACCUCUUGUUGGAACUGUUUCUUCCCUUGUGCAGCAUCAGGACUCAGAACUUUAAUGGCAACAGGUGUGUGAUCUAGUUUACCCUUAAAAACAGGUCCAUAUCCACCUUCUCCAAUUUUUUGUGCAUUUGAGAACUUUUUGGUGGCUGCCUCAAUCUCUUCUAUUGUAUACUUCCUAUAACGUAUAUCAUUCUGAGAUCGAACAUUCAUUGCUUGUUUCUUUUUUUCUGUCUCUCGCUUAGCUUUUAACUCUGCAUACUUCCUUCUUUGUGCUUCUAUUUCAGCCAUCUUUUGUGCUUUCUUAGCAGCUUCAAUAGCAGCUCUGCAUUUAGCCUUUUCAGUCUCAGCAAUUGCGAGAGCCGCCUCUUCAGCAAAACGGGCUUGUUCAAACUUGCGAGCUUCUUCAAUUUUCCAUUUAUUAAGCUCAUCAGCCUGAAACUUAGUAGAAAUAUGAUACAUGAAAAACUAAAACUGACUCCUGGAUAAGAAGAGGGAGAAAGCCUUGGUCCUUAAGUUUGAUGUCAUAAAUUUGUAACUCGUUUUUCAGAAACGUAAACAACUGAUGCGAUGCUAUUUCUUACUCAUAUAUAGAUAAGAAUUGUACUAACUUUUAACAAUUAUUUCAGACCAUAUAUAUUCCUUGGAGGAAUAACUUCCCAUAAAAAUGCUGAAUGCACUCAUGUAGUUUUGGGAGUUGGGAGCCGCAUGGUUCUAUGUAUGGUAGUAAAAAUUGUAGAAACAUGAGUUCCCUUAUAAUAUCUUUUAAAUAAUUGAACUAUUAAACAAGGUUUCUUGAAAAUAUGAUUUGCAUAAUACAAUGCAAGUUCUAUGUUUAAUAUAGUUAGGCCCAUAUAUUUAUCUCUUUCUUGCUAUUUUAGAUGGUCUUCAUCUUUAUGGUUCUAGGCAGUUAGAAAAUGGGCUAUUACCGCUUGGUUGGCCAUGACCGCUUCUUUGCAAGCUGCAUUGUACAUAUCCAUAGUUUGCCUUAGCUCAAGUUUUAGUCUUUUCAUCUCAGCAUCCACCUGCAAUAUCACAUAUGACGAAACAAAGAUUAUUACUAAACAAUUUUGAUACUUUUCACAUAAUGGAAAUGCUUAUAAUGUCUAUUAAGCAACAAAUUUGUGUUACAGUGUAGUUCAUAUGAUUGAUUAUAUUGCACUUACUGAAUAUGAGGAGCUUCCAUUCAUAGGAGUUUCUCUGAUGGCAACUUGUGUGAAGUCAAGAUUUUCGGACGUCAUAUCAACUGAUCUAGGGCUAAUACGAGCAUACCGCAUAUUACCAUCUGGUUGAGAAGCGUGCUUAUAUGGAUUUGUCAUCUCGGGAGAAUGAAGAUUAUCUAUCGGUACAAUAGAUGGUCCUUUUUCACCCCUCGUCUUCUCAGAUUCUACAAUUUUUUGCUCUGACCUCAUGUAUGAAAACCUACUUUGUACCAUUGAUUCAUUAAAGUUAGAGAUAGUACAGAAAGAAUUAACACUUUUGCUUAGAGCAUAAGGGUUCUUAAUUGUUCAUUCAUCUAUUUCUUAGUUCAACAGUUCAAGCUUUUAACUCCAACUACUAUGAUGAGGUUUGAAAUACAAGCAAAACUUCUAAUUUUCAGUCUGAAUUCAAACACAAGUUUUUCGAAUAAUAUUUACAUAUGUUGGAACUACCUAAACAGUAAUAUAAGUCACGAUAGUUAAUAAUUCGAAUAGAAAAAAGAUGACAGUCAAAGAAAAAAGUGUUCGACUCCCCUAAAUAGUGUAAUCAGGAGUAGUACAUAAAAUGAGGACAUAAUAAUAUGUUAGAAAUAAACAAAAAGAUUGUUUGAGUUAACACUAGUAUGUCCCAUAUAUUGAUUCUUUUUUUUUUUUGAUAACUGAGAAAUCCGUCUGUGACCUGCCCUUUGGACCAAUCACAGCCUUCUAAACUCGGUGGAUAAUGGGCCCACCCCUCUACCCUUCUCCACUUAAAUAUCGGGCUCGCUUUGCAUGGUGUGGGGCUUGAACCUGCGACCUAAGUCACAAAUCCUCCACCUUUUGCCACUUGAGCUAGGCCUUGGGGGCUGUCCCAUAUAUUGAUUCUUAAAAUCUUAUUUAACUACUUAUCCUUUUACCAAUCCUCAUAGCAAACUGAAUUAAAAAAUUGCCAACUUACUAAACUAAGUUUAGUUGCUCUGCAUUCAAAAUGAUGUGUGUUGUAAAAGGCAUGACAAGUAUUCUUUUGAUACUUCGGGUUCAAUUCAUAAAUAUCAAGUGACACGAGAAAGUUGUAAUAAAUCCAUCGAAGAUAAGGACAACAAAAUGAAAACAAGAUUGACCAAUUUUAUAUCAUCACUUGGUUAUUUUAUACCUGGUUGAAUCUUCUGAUCCAGAGUUACUUGACCUAGGUGCUGACCAUGCUGAUGAAGAUGGUUGUCUUGCUGGUACAGAAGAAGGAAGAGAUUUUGCUGCUGGUCGGACAGAUUGUUGCUUGCCUUUUGAAACUACGUAGACAGAACAAAACUCUGGUGCAGCCUUAUUUACCAAUGUUGGCACAUCAUGAGUCCAAUAUUUUCUGCAACAGAAGUAAUAUAAGCCAAGCUCUUUCCUUUGUAAUGAAGAAUAAGCAACAGAUACACUGAGAGAUAAUAACCUGCCAAGAGUACUCCUAGACGAUGCACCAAGAACAAUGUUGCUAACACUGUGACUGUUGAUGUACUCAAGAAGUCCCUUCGAUGCUUCAGUAUUCUCAAUGACAAUCUCUUUCACUACUAUCUGCAAUAACCUCAACAACCAUUUAGAAUAAAGUAAGAUUUAGUUAAAUUUCCAUCAUGGGAGGAGCCCGGUUUCAUCUAAACUUACAUGAUGCUACACUAGGUAACUUACAAAUUACUUUGAAUGUGCAAAACACUCAAGUAGAACAAGAGAUUUUAGAAGGAAAAAAGAACAUAAAACAGACUUUACGAGACAAAAACACCUAUUUCUAGUGAUCUUGAAAACCAUACAGAGGACAAUCUGGUGUUUAAGCCUCUUAACCUAUGUUACUAACGUCAAUGUUGCUCGGACUCUUCAUAAAUGUCAUCGGGUACUUGUCGGACCCUUCAAAAGUAGUGCAUUUUUGAGGAUCCAACAUGGAUGCGGCUACAUUUUUGGAGAGUCCGAGCAACUUAGACUAACGUAAAAGACAAUAAAGACUUCUUCGUUAUUGUAAAAUGAGAAGGUUAAAGUUAAUGAACUUUCAAAUAUAGGAGUAUUGUGUUAAACAUAACGGAUUACAAAGGAAAAUAAAGGAUCAAACCAUGCUUGGAGAAGAAAAGAGAGUGCUAACUUAUCAUGGAUUAAUUCACGUACCCUUUUGCGUGCAGAAUAAGCCUUGAAAGGUAUGAAGACAUUUUGAGUACCUUCAUCACUUAAUCCUCCAUUUGAAUCUAAAGUAGCUUCAUUUCCACCAACCACAACAAAUUAGCAUCAGUGUCACAAUAAACAACUAAAAGUUCAAAUUAUUUGAGUUAUAGAAAGAUGGCAAUUUGGGAAAUCAAAAACACUUUUAAAAAAAAAUAAAAAUAAUCCAAUAUUCAAAGCCCACUAGCCUGACUAAUGCGGUUUUGGGUCCUAUAGGGUCCAUAAAAGGGAAACAACUGCCUAACAAGAGUUUCUCCAUUCUUACGGCUCAAACCUGUUACCUUUGGUUAAGCGUGGAGAGUACCUAUCCAUUCUACCACACUCCUCACCGUAAAUCAAAAGCACAUUUAACUAAUAUUGGUGCAAUAAAAAGCAUUUACGUUCCCCUUACAAAGACUUAUUCUAAUAGAAAAUAGAAUUUCAAAUUUCUUCCCAAACAAAAUUAUUGAUCCCAAUUACAUUUAUCAAACAAAUGACUUUUUUAUAUAAAAAAAAGAAGUAGUGUUUGAGUCCGUUUGUGCGCACCUCAACUAACUCCACCGUACCUAUUAACUCCGGCCAGUACUAGGAUCAAGGGAAGGAUCCAAUCGAUUUUACUAGGGAAAAGGGUCUAAUAUACCCUUCAACUUUGUCAUUUAGAGCUGAUAUACCCCUCGUUAUAAAAGUAGGCACAUAUAUACCCCCUACUGUUAUACAAAUGGCUCACAUAUACCAUUUUCCUCUAACGGAAGUGAAAAAAUUAAUUUUAGUUUAAUUUUUUUAAUUAUUUUUUAAAAAAAUAUAAUCCCAUAUGGGUAUAUUUAAUCUUCCUCAAACAUAUAUUAUUUUUUUAAACUUUUUUUUGUUUCAAUGACUAAUCUAGAUUUAUUAUUUUGAUGGUCAAAUUUAUUUAACUUUUGCUAAUAUUCUUGUAAAAUUUAUUAUAGAUGACCCAAUUUUUUUUCUUCAAAUACAAAAACUAAAUUACAAUAUAUCCGAAAAAAUAGUUUUAAAUUAUAAUAUAGCCACAAAAAAAUAGUUUUAAAUUUUUUUCUUUACACUAAGAAAUGAAAGAAAAAAAUAAAAUAAGAAUAAGAAACUCAAAUAAUGAUAAUCAAAAAGUCAAAAAAUAAUUUAUGUCCGAAAAACAUUAAAAUAUACCUUGAAAUUUGCUAGAAAAAUCAUAUAUACCCCUAAAUAAUUUUUGUAAAAAUCAAAAGUCAAAAAUAUAAAUUUAAAACUAAUUUUUCACUUCCGUUAAAUGAAGAGUAUAUGUGAGCUCAUUUUGUAACGGUAGGGGUAUAUGUGAGCCAUUUGUAUAACAGUAAGGGUAUAUAUGAGCCACUUUCAUUACGAGGGACAUAUCAGCUCCAAAUGACAAGUUGAGAGGUAUAUUAGGCUCUUUUCCCACUUUACUAUUCCUUGGUGAUAAACCAAAAGCACAUUUAACCAACAAUGAUAGGUGCACUAAAAAGCAAUAAGUUCCCCUUACAAAUACUUCUUUUAUAAUACAAAAUAAAAUUCUAAAUUUCUUCCCAAACCAAAUUAUUGAUCCAAAUUACAUUAUCAAAUGAAUAAAAAAAGGAUGCACUAAGCUCUCACUAUGCACGGAGUCUGAGAAAAGACCGGACUACAAAGGUCUAUCAUAGGGAACCUGCAUUUCUACAAGAGGUUAUUUCAACUAAAUUCAAACUCAUAACCUCCUGCAACAACUUUACCAGUAACGUCAUGGCCCCUUUCUCAUAAUCAAAUGAAUGACCAAUUUAUAGAUCCCAAUUACAUUAUCCUAAACUAAUUUCCCGAAUACCUAUUAUCUUUCACCAACACAUGUAUCGGAAUACUCUGUCCACCAUAACUUAUUUCAAUUCAAUUCAUUGACAUUUGACCAUUAGGGCAAACCAAACCUAGAAAUGUAAAUGAAAGAGAGAGAAGGUACCUACGCUUUGGUGAAUUCUUGACCCGAACAUGAACCAAUACAAGACUUUGAUUGUUUCCAAGCAGAUUAUCAAUAGCCCAUUUCACCGCAGAGCUGCUACUCUUAUCUUUAUCAACGGCAACAACAAUAGAAUCUUCCCCCGGAUUUUGGGAACCCAUUUUUUGUUCAUAAAUUUAUAUAUUAAACAGAUCGGAAAAGAGGCUGCCGCUACUUAGCUCCGCCCCUUUCCGCCACCAUAACGGUGGCUGGAAAAAAUUUCUUAGUUUUUUUUCACGUUUGACAAAAAUGGAAAAUUGGUAGAGCUGCAUGGAAUGGAAUGCCAUUAGUUUUGCCCAAAAGGAUUUGUGUUGUCUCCCAAAAAAAAUGGAUCAAUUUGUAUGGUGAUGUUUUAACUCCAUCCCCCCCACCCCCUAUUUUUUAUUGAUAUAAAACUCGUAAAAUAGUGAUAGUUUAAAUGUAUUUUUGAUGUGGGACGGUUUUGCUCGUGAUCACUUACACUUUGUUUGGAUGGUUGCUAUAUAUUGUUUCAUAAUGUAUUAGUGAUAUAUUGUAUCGUACCAUAUUGUUGUAAUGAAUAUAGUGUUUGGAUAGAUUAUAUUGUGCUAUAUGACAUUACAUAUUUAUAAUUUGGAUAGAUUGUAUUGUUCUCCAUCUUUGCUCGUGAUCACCUAGAUCCCUUUGGGGGAUGUGGGACGUCUUUGCUCGUGAUAUCACUAACACUUUGUUUGGAUGGUUGUUACGUAUCGUUUCAUAAUGUAUCUUAUUAUAUUGUGUUAUAUUGUAUUGUUCUAAUGAAUAUAAUAUUUGGAUAGAUUGUAUCGUUCUCCGUCGUUAUAUAAUGUUACACAUUCAUAAUUUGAGUAGAUUGUGUCGUCCUCCAUCUUUGCUCGUGAUCACCUAGAGCCCUUUGGGGAUGUAGACGUCUUUGCUUGUGAUCACUUACACUUUGUUUGAAUGGUUGUUACAUUUUGUUUCAUAAUGUAACGUAUUGUAUUAUGUUAUAUUGUAUCGUACUGUAUGUUCUAAUGAAUAUAGUGUUUGGAUAAAUUGUAUUGUUCUCCUAUCAUUACAUGAUAUCAUAUAUUCAUAAUUUGAAUAGAUUGUAUCGUUCUCCAUCUUUGUUCGUGAUCACUUAGAGACCUUUGGAUCGCAUAACAAUGCUUAUUGUGUUGGUUUGACAUUUCGAGGCAAAAUAAAAUGUCUAUAAUAAAGAUCCAAUUGUAAAGUCCAAAAUAAAACAUAAAAUAAUCAAAUGCCUCGAAUUUCAUCUCUAUCCAAUUUUAAUAUCAGAAUAGCGAUAGUCAUAAUUCAAUAGAUAGUCUACUUGCUUUUGUUGAUUUCUAACCUUUCAAAUGAAUUUCGUUAGUAUAAUAGAAAAAUCAAAAAUAAAUCUCUGUUCUUAUCGAAUAGACGAAAUAUUCCUACUCAAAUAAGAAAUAUUGUAAGUUACAACUCCACCAUGUGCACGGAGCACUGAUACCUCUGAUCUUAUUGACCACUAGAUCAAACUUUUUGAUUGCAUGUUAAAAUGUAGGUUAACACAUAAAUAUCCUCUCGACCUGUCCCCGAAUUAUCAACUACACACUUAUAAGUCCAACGCAAAGUUUAGGUGUGUAGUUGAAAAUUUCGGGGAGAUAUUUAUGUAUUAUCCUUUAAAAUAUGACACACAUAAAGUACAAGACAUAAUGUCAAACAGUAGGUUAAAAUACCUACAUAGAGCCUUUUAACUAUGGAGGCAGAAUGACCAUAUUACAUUUGAUUAUAAUGUAGUAGUUUUUGCUACUUCAAAUAGCUAAAUAAAGAAAAUUACAUAUAGAAUGGAGCAUGUACUAAAAUAAAUACAGAAACCUACUCCAAUAAUAGCCAUUAUAUUUAUCCCAAGGUAAAAAAAAUGUAACACAAAUAGACGACUUACCUUGGCCUCAACGGACAAUUAUACACUUCAACUUUGAGAAUACACAUCUAGACACCUCAACUCGUCCCCACUGUGUCGUUGUGAACAACCGAUGUUGAU
RNAcentral lists this long non-coding RNA (71101 nucleotides) under Solanum tuberosum (potato). RNAcentral's name for it is "long non-coding RNA (STUB_LNC011893)". Lineage: Eukaryota; Viridiplantae; Streptophyta; Magnoliopsida; Solanales; Solanaceae. The record is from RNAcentral.